Molecule: long non-coding RNA, 80899 nt
Filed under: Ananas comosus (pineapple)
Lineage: Eukaryota; Viridiplantae; Streptophyta; Magnoliopsida; Poales; Bromeliaceae
Description: long non-coding RNA (ACOM_LNC014535)
Source: RNAcentral
GUUUGUUAAAAAUUAAAAAAAAGGUUAAUUUCAUUAGGUCCCUGCAAAUACAGAAAAUGAUUAAUAUAUAUCUCUAUAAAGUUCAACUUUCAUAUAUUAUUUCUUCAAAAUUUUUAAUAUUUUUAAAUAUAUUUUUCUGAUUUGUUAUCCUUAGAGAAUCAUUUAUAUUUUCAGUUUUGCUAUCACAAAUAUAUGUUCCUUCAAAAAUCAUAAUAGUAUAAUAUAAAAGAGAUAAAAAUAUCAAACUAAUCAGGAUUAAGUAUUUAAUCUAUGGUUAACUAAAAUUUUCUAACGAAUUCUAACGAUAUAUAUAUAUAUAUAUAUAUAUAUAUAUAUAUAUAUAUAUAAGGAAUUUAAUGUGGAAAUAAUAUUUACAAUUAUUUUAUUUUGUGUUACUACCAAUCCGAUAAAUACUUUCAUUAGUCCAUAAAAUAUAUAAUAAAAUAUAACUUUCACAUACUAUUUUUAUGUGCAUGAUCCAAUGUAGUCCAAUAAUAUCACCUUCACAUAAAAUUGUAUUGUUAAUAUUUGAUAAAUAUAUAUCUUAAAAAUUAUAAAUUUUUGAAAAUAUAAUUUACUACGAAUAAAAAAAUUAUCUUUUUUUACGUUGUAGAUUUUUUUUAUUUUACUUGCCAUCUGAAUAAAUAACAAGAUUCCAAACUCGUGAAUUAUUUUUUAAGUUUAUGAUCUUCUUUUUAAGUAUCAUAAACACAAUUUUUGGGGGGGUCUAGUUAAUUGUGGCUUUUACAAGCAUGUGGUUCAUGGAUGACGUGGUACGCCUGGUCCAGGAAAAUUUGGCCCCGAUAGCUUUAGUCAUCGUUGCUGAGCUGUCGCGAGAUAAUUGGAAGAUAAUGGUGGGUCCACGUGAGCGCACAAUCAUAGAUUCAUAAUGCGCUUAUUUUUUACUAUAUUAUGCUAUUUGUACUCUCUAUUUUCUCCACGGCACCUGCUUUGGUGAUUAAUGAUUAUCUCGGUUAGAAUAGUAAUGGAUAAAUUGUACUCUUAGUCCCAAACCUUUGUCUCAUUUUAUUUUAGUUCUUAUGUAAUUCAUUAUGUACGAACAAAUGAAAGUUUAACAAACUUUUGAGCUCAAAUGUUAAAACCAAAAGUCAAAGGACCAAAAUGAAAAUUUACUCUUAAGUACCCGAAAAAGAAAUAAAUUAAUAUGGAAAAAAAAUGGGUGCGUGUAUAAAAGUACAUCGAAUCGAGACGCUCUUUCGUCUCGGGGCAAUCGUGGUGGGAUUUUUUUUUAUUUAUUUUUUUAAAUUUAUUUUUAUUUUUAUUUUUUAUUUUUGGCAACUACGAAGGCGUUAAUUGACCUUCCAACGAAGCACAUUCGCGUAAUCACUCUUCAUUACAUAACAAUAAUAACCCCAAAAAUAUGAUUACAGCUUGCAUUAGUGUUAAAUAUAAUUAAAUUUAUCGAUUCAUUAAAUCUGAUUACUAUUUACAAAUUUAUUUUGGAAUUAGAAUCUGAUUACUAUUUACAAAUUUAUUUUGGAAUUAAUUAUCGGGCAAUAGCAAACGUGAGUUAUAAAGUAUUACAAAUAUCUUUUAAAAUUGUUAAUACUAUUUUUAUUCAUAUAAAUUAGGGAAAAUUUCAAAGAUGCCCCUAUAGGAGACUGAAAUUUCAUCACUAGCCCUCUAAAUUUUUAAAUAUCAUAAAUGCCCUUCUAAAUUAAAAAAAAUGCAUGAAUACCCCUACAGGUAAUGUGCUGUCAGAAUCGAACGGAACAAGUUGUAAAUGUCAUUUUUACCCUUAUACGGCUUAUUAAGUGGUAACAGAUAUACUAACACUUUUCACAAAUACCCUUAUAAAUUAUGCAACGGUCAAAUUGAGAAAGACUUUAAAUUCUUCUCAGUACCUUCAUUUUCAAAAAGCAAAUUAUACAUUUUUUGCCCCUCCAACAUAGCCAUAUAUCCUUGUCAUUUUUGCUACUUAUUCUCUCUAAGUAGCAAUGAGUCAAUUAGGUGGUUAGUCUUUUACAAUACCUCAUAACCAAAUUUCUAUUUGUGAUUGUGGUAAACCAUGUCGAAUUUGGAUGUCAAAACAACCACACAGUAAAAAUCGGCGAUUUUAUCAAUGUCCAAAUUUGGGGGUAAGUUGAUGUGAUGCUUUAGUAUGCAUAUAAUUAUUAAUUAAAUUUUAAAUACGUAAUACUGUAUAUUUUUAACAGGUUGAGGAACAAAGAUGGUGCAACUACUUUGCCUGGGUAGAUGAUUUUCAACACAGCACAAUUGAUCUUAAGUACCAAAUUCAGAUGCUAGAGAAAAAUACAGACAGAAGAAUUACAAAGUUGGAGGAGAAAGUUCUAUUCUACCUAAAGCUUGUACUUUAUAUACUAGUUCCUGCAAUUUUUUACAAUGUCCUCUUCUUGUGGGAAAGUCGAUCAUGUAUUGAACAAUUCACCUAUAAAAUAUAGUAAUGGUAAGGGUAAAUUCGUCAUUUUAUGUGUUGAACAAUUCAUCUACAAAGUCCUCUUCUAGGUGGGGGGUAAAUUCGUCAUUAUAUACUUUAACUGUUAUUUAACUACAUAUUAACCCAAGUAGAGUGAGGCACCGUUAACAGUAAGGGCAGUUACGAUAAUUUUAUGUGUUUGAAGGGGUAUUUAUGAUAUUUUUAAGUUUAGAGGGGUAUUUAUGAAAUUUAUAAGUUUGACAGGGGCACUGAUGAAAUUGCCCCUAUAAAUUAUAUCAAAAAUGCUCUCCGUAACUUUUACCAACAGUUUUGGGCUAAUUUGUCACUAGUUAUCUCUAAUUAUGGAUAACUAUAGUAUUGUGUGGGGCUAAUAAAUUUACUUCUCUUCUAAAAAUGACUCGAUUUUUGUUUAUGAUUUAGUCUAUAAAUGUCUUUUUGGUUUAGUUAAGGUAUUUUGUUUUUAAUUCAAUAUCACAUGGGCUGGAAUACUAUCGGUAGUAAACGGGCUCCGUUGCCACCCAUUUGUUUUCGAUGAUAGAACCUUCAAAUCGUUGAUCGACACCAUUGAACAUGAUCUAUAUCACUUGAAAUAUCUAGAAAUUAAAUUUCAAAUAUUUUCGAUAUCAUUGACCUAAUGAUCAAAGAGUUUCAAAAUUAGUAAUUUUAAUGGUUGAUAUGAGGAGUUUUCUCGUUUAACGGUGUAAAGCUAUCCAAAUCAAUUGAGUUUUGAUAAGAAAAUUAUUUAAACUAUUUAGACCAAGAUCUAUACUCUCGAUCUUGAUUAGAAAAUUCCUAUCAUCACUUUUUAGAGGAUAGCCAUUUUCAGUCGUUCAUUUUUACGCCUACUUGAUGGACAAGAAUAUAAUAUUGAAAAAGUAUGAAAUUUGAUUUCUAGAUACUUCAAGUGAUAUAGAUUAUAUUCAACGGUGCCGAUCGUCGAUUUGGAGGCUCAUCAUCGAAAACAAAUGGGUGGCAACGGAGCCCGUUUACUACCGAUAGUAUUCUAGCUCAACUCUAUAUAUAUAUAUAUUAUAUAUAUAUAUUUCUAAAAAUUAGAAUAGUAUUUUCGAUAAUGACAUUUCUAGGAAAAAAUUUAUGCAACUAAUGGUUAAAGAAAAGUCGUAUGAAAAUGUCCCAUUGACUUUUAUAGUCAUCUUGCUUUUUAAUUUAAUUUAUUUUGGUGGGAUUAUAGAACUUUUAUCUAGUUUUAUUUGAGUCAAAUUUCUGAAAAUAUCUAUGUAAUAUGAGAUUUGUAUCAACUCAAACUUAUUACAGAGACUAAACCAAGAUAAAGUUUUUUUUAAAAAAAAAAAGAAAAAUUGUUUCUCUACUUCUACACAAGAUGGUAAAAAUUUGGUUCUUUGUUAGUUUUUUUUUUUUUGCAAAAUAUUUGUUACACAGAAUUAUAUACAAANUUUUUGUUUUUUUUUUUUUUUUUUUUUUUUGCAAAAUAUUUGUUGCACAGAAUUAUAUACAAAUUUAAUGAAAACCUCGGAUCCUAUUUAAUUAGUUAGUAGUUUUGGAUUGGAUGGAGAGUCACAACCACUUAUCACCUAUUAUUUUAUUGAUAAAGACAUUCAAUAUUGAACUUAAAUUAUUAUUUAUUUAUUUAUUAAAUUUGAAUUCGCCACUUAUACUGAUAUUAGAUUAUAAUUCUAAUAUUACUAUGAAUACAAACGUACUAAAGUUAUAAAUAAUCUUAAUAAGAUUAGACAUAAUUUAAAUUUAACUUAAUGAUUUUUUUUGAUGUAGCAAACAAAAAUAAUACUAAAUAAAAAUAAGAUAAGUUAGAUUUUGUCUUAAAAAAUAAAUUUAUUAGCAAUAAUGUAUAGAUUGACCAGAAAAAAAAAAGAAAGUUCAAUAAUAUCUAUGAAAAAGCAGUAUAAGACAGAAAAUUAAAAAUAAAUCUAAAAUACAAGGUAAAGAUUGCUAAAAUAAAAUAAUAUAAUAAUAUUUUUGAAAAAAAAUUUGUAUAAUAUAGCGGGCCAAAAUAAUUGAAGUAAAAUGUAAAAAGGUGUAAUUAAAGAGUUUUCGGGCUACUAAGCCUAUAAAAUCUUUUAAAUAUAAAAAUAAGUAUUCAAAAUUUUUAUUUAUAAAAAUAAAUUAAUGAAAGGAUAAAUGAUUCACCGCUUUUAUCCUAAUUUAUAUAUUUUUUACAUCUAAACUUCAAAAGAUGUAUAAUAUUAAUUAAAUACUAAAAAUAAUUUAAAUCCUUUAGAAAAAGUGGUGAAUAAUUUACCGCAUUUAGAAAGCGAUAAUUUAUUCACCGUAUAAAUCUAAUUUUGUAAAUAAUUUUUUUAGAGAACUUUUUUUAUAAUUAUAGUAUAAAAACAAAGGGUUAAUUUCAUAAAACAAAGGGUUAAUAUGCUGAAAAAUUUAGUGAAUGAAAAAUUUAGUGAAUGAAACGAAGGGUUAAUUUUAUAUAGGUCCCUACAAAUAUAGUGAAUGAAAAAUUUAUCCCUACAAAGUUCAUCUUUUAUAUAUUGUUCAUGCAAAAGUCAUGAUAUUUUCAAAUAUGUCUCUGUCAUUGGAAUCCGUUAGAAAAAUUUACUUAACCAUAGGUUAAAUACUUAACGCUGGUUAGUUUUUGACAUUUUUACAUCUUUAUGUUAUACGGUUAUGAUUUUUGGAGGGAUAUAUUUGUAAUGAUAAAAUUUCUACAACCAUAGGUUAAAUACUUAACACUGGUUAGUUUUUAACAUUUUUACCUCUUUAUGUUAUACGGUUAUAGUUUUUGAAGGAUUAUAUUUGUGAUGAUAAAAUUAAAAAUAUAAAUAGUUUUCUAACGAUAACAAACCAGAGGGAUAUAUUGGAAAACAUCACGACUUUCACGACUUUCAUAGGAACAAUAUAUAAAAACUGAACUUUGUAGAAAUAUAUUUGUCAUUCACUGUAUUUACAAGAAUACGUAUAAAAUUAACCCUAAAACAAAAUUAUGCAAUUAAACCUUAAAAAGUGUAAAUUUUUUUUUAAAAAUAAUUUAUCACUGAUAAAGUCCACAUGUCAAUGUCAUGUUGCUGUUGGGAAAGCUCAGUUCAUAAGCAUCUCUAUGUCCAACCAAAAACAUCCCUUCGUUUUCUUUGGAGUUCAUUGAAAAAGUCAAUUUGUCCCAAGGAAAACAAGUGAAUUAUUAACGCAAUAUAUGGGAAUAUACAUUGCCUUUGUUGCCAAAUUAUCGGUUUCACACAGAAUAAUUAACAGAUAAAUAAUUUAAUUUUUUAUUUUAUAAAUAUUAUAAAAUAAUUUAUUGAAUUUAAAUUAUCGAUGCAAAAUAUUUAAGCUCAUUUAUUAUCCGACGUUAAAUUAUUAGAAUAUCAUAACUUCAUUCUCGUUCUCCGUGCUAUUUUAUAUAAAAUAAUUUUACAUAAUAUAAUAUAUCUUUAUUUUAUAUUAUACUUUAUUAUAUGAAGUAUAUUAUUUUUUAUUAUUUUCUACAUUUUAUAUUAUACUUUAUAUGAAGUAUAUUAUUUUUUAUUAUUUUCUACAGUAUUAUUGAAUUACUUACUGUGCAUAAUGCAAGGGCAAACUUGGUAUUCUAGAAAAUUUUAACCUACAAUUUUUUUUUUGGGCUGUUCUGCAUAAUUCUAAAGAAAAAAACCCAAUACAAUUUUGGUUAUUCUUGAAAAUAAGAAAAUGUCAAAUCAAAUACAAAAUUUUUUUAUUUCUCUUUUUAGUUUAUUUGAAGAAUUCAAAUAUUUAUUCUUUUUAAAUAUUAUCUCAUUACCAAAUGCAGCCUCGUAAAGAUGGUGUUUCUAAAUUGCUUGAGAUAUGCUAAUAGUACGUCCAAAAAACAAGUGUAUAAUUCACACUCGCCUACCCAAGGUUUAAAAGCCCCUUAUAAAUUUUUAAAAUAUUUUUAAAUUUGAUAAACCAUACGAAAAUAUUGACCCUCGAAUGAGUAAGACAUAAAAUAUUAGCCACCGUUUUGAUUUGGGGUUAAGUAAAAACUUGUUAUUUCAGGAAUAGAGUUAAGUUCAGAAUUAAGAUCGGGUUAGAGUAAUUUUGUGUUUGGUUGAGAAUUGGAUUUAGUCCAGAUAUAGAUAAAUUAGUGUUUGGUUGGAAUAUAUGAGAUAAGAAGGAUAGUGGGUAAAAUAGCAUUUUGUUUGGUUAGAGUAGUGAGGUGGAGUUAAGGAAUAACUUCGGAGUUAAGGAAUUUAAGAAUAACUUCGGAGUUAAGGAAUUAUUUCACCUUUUAACCCCGAACCAAACCGGUGCAUAGGGUUCCUGUCCCCAUGAAACUGAUACUAAUUCAGUUGACUUAGAAGACUUAAAAAGUGGUCCACAAGUUUUCUUUUUCUUUUUAUUUUUUUUUAUUCAUUGCAAUCCUUCUUUUAUUAUAUCUCUUUAACCUGACAUAGCCAUGUAUAGCAGUUGAUAAUCAUCAAUCACAUGUAGAAUCACCAUCUGGUGUGUAUAUGGUUUAAGUGAAACUUAAAAAAUAAAAAAAACAGAGGCUUUCAUGUAAAGUUAACUCCCGCAGGACUGACAGGUAAAUUUGUUGCUAAUAAAUCAAACUGCACAAGAACAAAAUCAUUCUGAUAUGGUGGCUAAAAGUACUAUUUUUCUACUAUAAAAAAGUUAAAUUUCAAAAGCACUUUUAAUCCUCCCUUUCGUUAUGCUAUAAAAUUAAAGUUGCAAUCGUCACUAGAUAAGCAAAUGAUUUUAUGCUUCUUCGGUAGCGAUUGCAACUGCAAUUCUAACAUUGGAGGAUGAAAAAUUAAAAGUGUUUUUGAACAUUUUGGACCUUCAGUAAAAUAGUACUUUUAACCACUACAUUACCCAUCUAGGCCGUACUCAGCUGAAGACACAAAAUGGCUGGGAGAGAGCUCCUCAAGAGAGAGCGCUUCUAACCAUCAGAAUAGGCUGUGCAUGGAACAGUAAAUCACUAAUGCAUUCAUUAAUGAACUUACAAAAUUGACUGCUUGUAGAAGCAGAACAAAAGAAGGUUCUGUAAAUAUGAACACACAAAAGAAAAAAGGGAAGAAGAGGAAGAAAAAAAAUUGCUGCCUAAAGCAACCAGCUACAGUUCCCUAAUCUGGAUAACUUUUACAAGCAUCUAGUCCCAUCUGUACACUAUAAAUUUGUUUUCACGUAACUGGUUCAAAAAAUAAUAUGAUUUCAACCGGAAAUUAGCCGCAUAACCUAAACUAUUAGCAUCAGAAAAGGGGGAAAAGAAAAAAAAAAAAAAAAAAAAAAAAAAAAAAAAAACACCACCACCUCACUGGAUAUAAGUUAAAUUAUUAAGUCGCAAAAAGGCCGAGCUGCCACCACAGUAAAAGCACUUUUCAGUAACGAAUUCUGUACAUAUGCCACGCAGCUUAUAGAAGUCCUUCCUGAAAGGUGAUAAAAAUCCAGCAUUAACAAUCAUAAAUUGGCUAGCAACGAAGUGAAUUUCACACUAAAGAAGGGAUAAGAGCAAGUGCUAGAAAUAAAUGAUGAUGACGAAAGCAAAUUGAUGAUGAUGAAAGCAAAUAAAUGAUGAUGAAAUCUUAUGAUAUGAACAUUAUUUUACAGAGUACUGGCACCAUUCAAGGAAAACAAAUAAAUGAUGAUGAUGAAAUCUUAUGAACAUUAUUUUACAUAGUACUGGUACCAUUCUUUUGACGUGUAUAUAUGAUUGACAAUGCUGGAUUCUAAAAACAAUGGUUCAACAUUAGUCACCAAGUAUUGGCCCAUAUACACAAUAUUAAGUAUGCCAGACAAGUGUAAGCCAAGUCUAGAACUAACCAAUUCAGAUUCACUUUCGAUACCUUUCAUUCACACAAAAAAAAAAAGAAGGAAAAACACCUUUGGAUCCCAAUUUGAUAAAUUGGAACGGAACAAGCUAGGUUGACAAGUUGGUCUGCUAAACAAUCAUACACUCCUAGGAUCAACCAAUGUGGCUAAAGAAGAAUUGUUCAAAUAGGAGAAUGUAAGAGUUCCUUCCACAUUACUAUGGUGGCAUUGUUAUGGUUUGAAUAAUUUUGGAAAUGAGUAGCUGCAUUAAUCAGAACAGAAACAAGUAAAGUUUCAUGCAGCAUCUAACUAUUCCCGCAAUAAAUUAUAUGAAUCCAAAUUGCAGCUAGCAUUGUGUAUAUUCCUGAUAGUGCUCAAAUGACAAAUAACUAACAAUAAAGAGAAUGAGCUUUACCAAGCCUGCUUCGUUGCCUCUGAACUCUCGGAAAAAAAUAUAUCAACCUGAAAAAGUAGAGGUUGACAACAUCUAGCUCAUUAGCGAAGAGGGUCAUCCUAAGUUGCAGCGCAACAUCACCAGUGCUUAGAAGAGACAACAAAAUAUAUCAUUUCAUUUCUACCAGUGUAGCAGAGCAGAGAGAAUAAUUUGUGCAUCUCUGUCGAAUAGUGACCAUCAACAAGGGUGGAGAUGUCAAAACUUAGGAAACUUGCUACAAAAAAUGCUUAACCCAGCUUAGUCAUUGUUAGCUUCACGCUCCUCGUCUAACUUAACUACCACUUCUGAAGCACAGUAAACUGAUGCAAGCCACAAGUAUAAGCAGGUUUUCCAAAAGCCAUAUCAUCUUCACAGCUGUCAGUAUUUUUUUUAACAUCAUCACAGAUAUGGCGAGGCUUGACAAGAACUUCCACAGAAAUCUCAUUUGAAGUGCUUAAUUCAGGCCGAUCAUCGAUUCGAGUACAAACAGCAUCUGGUGUCACAGAAGAAAUGGCACUAGAGCAGUGAGAUUCAUCCCUUGUCUUGCAACUCUCCAACUCGAUAGGAGAAUCCUUGACUUCAUUAAAUAUAUCAAAACUCCGAUCCUGCGAAGAAACUUUGAUGAAAUCACUAGGACUUUGUUCAAAAGAACCUGCAACACCGUCUGUUUUAUUAAAGGUUUUCAGCGUAUUGCUGUGGCUUGAGGAAACCUUAGGCUCGGGAAAGACAGAUGACAGCGAGGUAUCCAUGGAGUCAGGUGUAUUGUGACAAUCAUGCAGCUUCUGACGAUAAUUAGAAUCAAGUGGAGCGGCAUUAACGAUAUCCUCGGAACCGUUUGUUAAACUACCUCCAGAUGAACCUUGACUAUCUCCCAGAAAGGCAAUAUUUGUCGAGUCAGAUGCAGCAUUUCGUUGAGAUUCUUGUUUAGCAGAGGAAAUAUCACCCAGUUGUGUUUGUUUGGCUUCACAGCUAUGUACUGAGGAAGUGUCACUACCAUGAACUGGUUUUGCCACAAUAUCAGUAUUCACAAUCAUUAUUUCUAGAGUAUCAUCCACCUUUGCCUCGCUGUGUAAUUCAUCUCUAACUUCAGAUUUAAGUUGCUCUACACAUUCAUUAUGGCGAACAGAUUCUGGAGUAAGAGAAUUCCCAUUAGUAGCAGACUCUGCUGAUUUGUGUAGAGGAAUUUGAGCAUCUUUGACCUCAUAUUUUCCAUUUACAAUGUCAUCAGAGGAGUGAAGGUUGGGCUCAACAGGUGCGGAGGACCUAUUAUCUUCCGCAAGUGUUUGAUGAUGCAUCUUAUCAGAUUCACCCUUGUCAUUAUUGCUGGCAUUCACACAAUCACUUAUGUUAGAAGCCAUAUGCUUUUCAGCAUAAUCUUUUCUUGGUAGUUGCUUCUGCAAUAGACCCGUAUCAGGGAAAACCAGCAAAUUCACAGACCUAAUCUCCAAUUCUUGUGAUUUCUCGAGAGGUUUAAAGCUGAACACCGUAGUCCAAGUGUCCUUCAGUUCCGCUAUCGCAGGUAUUACAAGUUUUUCAACAUUAAGCGAGCGGAGAGCCUACAAAGAUGAUCAACAAUUAGUCUCAAAACAAACUGCAACGAUGGAAGGUGAAAGCAAAAGUAGCAGUCUUAAGUAUUAACUUCUCAAAAAUAUCAUAUCAUUAAAAUAUAAGAAAAGACCAAGAUUUACAGUUUUACACACACACACACAUCAAAGAAAAAAAAAAACUACAGGAUACUAGUAACUAAAUGUAGUGAUUCAGAAAGGAAGCUACAGGGCAUUAGAGACAGCAACACUUGGCAGUGAUAGACAAAUAAUUCUUUACGAGGUCUGAAGAUAGACAAACAAUUGCUUACCAGGAACCGAUAAUGGUAGCAUAGGAAUAAAGCGUAUCCCAUAAGAAGAUCUGAAGGAUUUUCCUUUAAAAAAAAAAGGAAAAAAAAAUGGCAUGGUGCUGCUAAAUAACAAUUUCCAUAGUGCAAAAGGCAUAGAACCAAAUAUGUGGAAAAAGAAGAAGUACGAUGAAAAUGUUACAGAUUGGCAAUUUAAAGGAAUAAAAGCCAACAUAAAUUACCGAUUCAAUCCCAUACAGAAGACGGCGACACAUCCCUUUACGCCUAUACAUAUUUCUUGUUCCGAUGAAGGGCAUUUCUGCUAAUCGGGUGCCAUGAAUUCUGUUUUGUGCACAACAAACAACAUAAGCCAAAUAAGGAACACGAGCUUUAAGACUUUGUAAAGCCUUCCUAUCAUAAACUAAUUUUCAGAUAAAGAUUAUGUGCCAUUUACAACAAUUAAGAAACAUCUAAUGAAUACGCUUCAGUGAACACAUAAGCACAUAACAGCACAUGAGAUCACCCUCGUCAAUAAAAAAUAUGGUUCAGUCUUAAAGCCAAAUCGCAUAAAGUUUAAGACAUGCUCUAGACACAUCAAGCAAUACAUAUAUAAUAAAAAGGAGAAUCAAUUUAGACUUCCCAAUGCCAUAGGAUAAUAACAUUAAAAAGUAAGUAUCAUGACAUUAAAAAAAAAAAAAACUUAAGCAUAAGUAUAAUGACAUAGAAAAAAACUUGAGCAUAACUAUAACAGCCAAAAAAUCUUAAGCUCCUAUGUGUUAGAUAGAUAUAAGCACAGGAAUAAUGAUAUUUAAUUUUUUUGUAAAAAAAAUAAAACCUGAUAGAUGCAGCAGAGAUAAUUUCAUCGCCUCGCUCCAAGAUGAAAGUAUAGAAACCACAGUAGUUUAGCCGAUGGAUAUUAGAUCUACAACAAAAGGGAAAGAAAAAGUACGAUUUAGAAAAGCUUAUUAAAUACGCAAAAGAAUUAUUCCAUAGACUCAGCACUUCCUACUAACACAUCUAGUAAAAAAUGUUCUAAAAGCAAAGGCUCAACCAAAGCUUACCCACAGUUAUAUACAACAUUAUGAAUCAGGUUAAUGCCACUUCUUGGGUCAGUGAUGGGUCGAAAGCACUCAUCCAUAACUGCAAAAGCAACUGCAAUCUUAGAGUUGCAUUCAACCCGUUGAGAUAGCUUGCUUAGAGACUCCAAGGAAUCCUCAUCAAAACGACGAAUCAGGCGCCAAGAGAAUCCAGCUUCCAAAUCAUUUUUCACCCCAAGAAGUUUCUUCAACUGUUUAAAAACCUGGGUAACAAAGAAUGGCUUCAUCCUAGUAACCUUAAAAAAGGAUUGUUUGACAUAAUGUACACAGCAUUACAAGUACAUGCAUAAUGUACGUUAAGAACUUUGAGAACAGAUAAAUUCCCAUUAUUAUGACAUCAAACAUAGUUCAUUCCUUCCUCAAUGACAUCUUCUUGGAGUGCAUGUCACCACAAUUUAAGGGACUUGUACUGUAUAAUUUAGGAUGAAAAUCUAUAUUUUACUCAAAAUCUACACAAAAAAAAAGGAAAAUGUAAAUUACUUCUUGCAACAAUCAGAAAUGCUAGCAGACGCUAAAAUGACACAUAGCCCACUGAAAUCACAAGACAUAUAGCGGUGCUUCCAGAUUAGUACAAAAGCAUAGUUUCUGAAACCAUCUUUUGCUUUAGUUGAAUGGAAAACCCUACCAAUAAUAAAAAACGUUAUAUCAAUAAAUUGUAUAGUGAAUUUAUAAAAAGCUAAACCAACAAAAAAAUAGACCAAUCUUUGGCUUAUGCAGUCCUAUGGAAAAUUUGACCUGUUGGAGAAAAGCAUAAAGUGACCAUCUUACAAAGAUUUGAUAAAUAAAAUGUUCAAAAUAAAAAAUAUGGCUAGUACCAUUCUGCAACUUUGCCCACAAAAUGAAGUGCUUCCAUUGUUGGGAGGGACAGAAGAAUAAUCAACCUCAGGCAUACAAUCUUGGUGGUCUACAAUGAUUAAGUAGUCAAGAAAAGUUUCAUCAUUCCAAAUAGUUUACAUGUUAAAUAAUAAUUGACAAAAUGAAGGGUAUAAUAAAUCUGAUAUAGGAAGCCAUACAUUUUUUCUCACACUGGGAGCAAGAUAACAGUUGGGGAGUAGCAGCAGAAGAAACUGAGCCGCAAAACCUGCACACACAGUUUGUACAGUGCCAUUCUCCAGGAGGAAGCAUCUGCAAAGAAAGUCACAAGGAACCCAAGUUAGGACAAGGAUAGACAUCAUUAGGCAAAGAGACAUACGAGGAAAUCAAGGUUGCCUGAUAUCUAUUCAAUAGAAAUAUUAAUAAUACAGUAGUAGGAAAGGGAGAACACAAUAACUUUUUCCCAUUUUAAUGCCAUGCUCGUCCGUUCCAACCCCAUCCCCCGCCUCCUAUUCUCCAAUGAAUUAAAAGAAUAUUCCCCUCAAGCCCAUCCCCCUCUCACCCAACAACCACACAUGGAAAAAGGGAAACAAGAAUUAGAACGAGAAGAACAAAAGGAAUGUAGACUACAGACUGAAGAAAUGACCUUGUUUUCAACACUCGUCAUCAAGAAUAAGAUGGGGCAGUAUAAACAACCAAGAGCUUAUUUUAAUUACCUGAAUUCCCAAGCAACUCAAAUGGAAAGUUGAAGGACAACCAUCACAACAGAUCAAAUCACCACCAUCUCCACAAAUACCACAAGUAUCAUCGUUAGGGUCACCAUCAAGAUUUAUUGAAUACAAUCCACGCCUUUCAGACUCAUCCAGCUUCUUCCAUGCAUUAAGCUGACAUUGCAACAGGGAAACUCCAGCAUCCUCCACAAAGAUGUUCUCAUAUGGCCGGUACUCUUUGCUACCAGCAUGAAGCUCAAACUUCCACACAGUAAGAAUUUUGCUGCAACAGCUGCAAUGAAUACCAUCUCUUGUAAUCCGGCCCUCUAAUUUUGCUCGUGUUCUCUUCUUGUUCAUGUACUUCACCUUCCCUCUUUCAUGCACAACCCCUAAAUCUAUCAUCCAGGAGAGAACAGUUCGUUUCCAAUCAUAAGGAAUGUAAUCAUCCAUUUCAUCCUCUUCCUCUUGAUUAGUUCCACGGACCACAAGAGCACAAGUUCUUUGCUUGGUUCUUUCCACCAUAAGAUGUUUAUGUGCUACAAAACCAUCAACGGCUUUUGAAUUUACAACCAAAGAACUGAACCUUUUGCUCUCCUCUAUAGAGUUUCUCCCAGCGGAACCUAGCCUUGCCAUUUUGCUUCCACUUUCUCCAUACUUUUCAGUUUCUUCAAGCUCUCCCUUACUUUUUCUCCUGUUAAUCACAUUUCUCUUUAACAAGUCUAAUUCAUUCUUUGUUAUAGCAGGAAAAGGAUGACUUGUUCCUCCUAGGUCAAGAUCCCUUUCUUCAGGUGAACUUUCAGGUACAUCCUUGCACUUGCCAUCAUUUCCAAGAUUCAACUGCUCUUGAAACACGGCAUAUGCCUUGGUGAUAGACCAAUAACCUGUUCCUUGAGGAGACACAUAAACAGAAUCUUCAUAUGCUCUACUUCUCCUGGGCCUUAAUUCAAUUGUCCAACCAGCACUCAAAAGCAUUUGUUUGAUCUGAUCUCUUACUUUUUGCUUAACGGUGCUGCGACCUGCAUUUGCUUUACCUACAUUAUGCUUGGAUUUCAAAGAAGAAUUAUGUGUAUGUUCACCAUCGAACAUUUGGUCACAUUUCCUAUCCAACAUAUUCACAUCCUUCAAAUCUCUUCUUGAAGAUGUAAAAUCUGACUCUCUUUCCAGUUUAAAGGAUCUGCUUUUCUCAACUUUUGGCCUUUUAUGAUAGUAUCUGGCUAUCACAUUUUCCUGCUCUAUUUCUAGCUGAUGGGAGGUGUCUGUCUCAGCUUUGUGCAGUAGUACUUUUUGGUUAGUUGCUUUGCUAUUCCCAGUCGGUGAAAUUUUCUUCAAGCUCGCUCGACUUUUCCCUACUUUAGUUGAAGAGUCCGAUCUUUCAGUAGAUUUUCUUUCUCUAUAAAUAUCAGGUUGGUUAAAUGUGAUAGCACUUUUUGCAACACCGGGAGACUCAAAGCGCUUGGAUUUCUCUUCAUCUCCCUGACAAAUCUGAACUUUUUCAACCCCACCAACUUUCUUCUUGCUAGGAUAAACCUUAAGAACACCACUUUUUGCUUGCAACCUUAUACCUUUGCGUCGAAUGUCAUCACCCUCCGCUCUAGUUGCCACGACAUCGCUAGCCUUCAAACCUCGCACCUUCUCAUGCCCUGUAUAGUCUCUCCUUCUGAUCUUUUCCUCUGUUGAAUUGCUAGAGCUAUUCAAAACAAGUCUCCCCUUCGUUUUCAAGCCAUCCCUCUCUCUGCCAUCAGGAUAUACUUUGUAAUCACAUUGCACAGAAUCGGAUUUCAGCUUAUUCCUGCAAGAACCCUUGACCUGUCCAUUACUGGAAUCUUUCAAAGAUCCCGUCUUGAUCUUCUUGGUGAGUUUUUCAUCACCAGGCAGCUCUCUGUUCCUCUUCUUCUCCGACCCUGAAAGCAAUCUCUUCUUACCAGAGCCAGAACGAGCAUUAUCCGACCUCAUAACCUGAUUCUUAUCCCCCUCGAUCUCCGCCUCCUUUCGAUGUUCGGCACCGACGUGUUUCAUAACAAUUGGACCAUCCCCGUUCUGAUAAGAGCAAUCCUCCGCCUUUCUCCGCGGACUAAUGAAGUAAUCAUCCGUCUCUGAAUCACUGGAUUGAAGUAUCAAUCGCCUCUUCCUCUCCUUCUUCACAUCAACAGAUUUACGCAAAGUUGCAGAAUCACAAGUUCCCUUCCCCUUCCUUCCAAAAUCGCCUCCUUUCUCCACAAACGACAUCAUAAACCCCAAUCCACCCAAUCCCAACCGAACAAAUCACGCCAAAUCGAUCGAAACACAACAAACCAAUCGAAUCAAACCACGAAAACACCCAACAAAUCCGUCCAUCCUACAUUAAACAAAAAAAAAUAUCCAAGAAAAAAAACCAAUUAAAACCCGAAAUCGGGAUCGAACAAGGAACUUUAAUCGGGACAAAAGCUACCUCGCCGAGGAGAUCACGCUCACGAGAUCAUCCGAUCGAUGCCGAAGCGAUCGAGGAGAUCAACGAAUCAAAGAUGCGUAGAACAAAUUAGGGUUAGAGAAUUAGGAAGAGAGAGAGAUGGGGAGAGACGCGAUUUUAUUUUCUUAUUUUCUUUUUUCCUUUUUCCGUCCUUUGGGAAGAGCGUUUAUAUACUUUGGUAUCGCGACCGUUCUCUCCCGGAAAAACACACGGUGUAACAGUUACAUGUCACGGUUUCUGAUACUGACAUGUGGGCCCCUUUGUCGUGGGUCCACGUGUCAUCCUAAUCGGAUUCGGUUUACGGUUCUGUUUAUACGGUGACGUUAAUUUCUUUUCUUUAUUUUCGGGUUCCCUCCAAAUUCUCUGUUGUGUUAUAAAGAGAUUGGGAUCUUUGGGACCGCAUACUCGCAAAGGUGUUAACGGGUUGGAUUAUAUUCAGAUCCGUAAAAGAUCCUACCAAUAAAAAAAUAGGGGUUAAUUACAUACAGGUAAGCCACAGAUAUAGUAAAUUACAAAUAUAUUUCUAUAAAAUUUAAUUUUUAUAAGUUAUUCCUACAAAAGUCAUAAUAAUUUUUAAGAUAUGUCCUUAUAACAAUAGAUUAAAUACUUUAUCCUAGUUAAUUUUUGAUAUUUUUACCCUUUUUAUAUUAUAUUUUUAUAAUUUUUAGAGUAAUAUAUUUGUAAUGGCAAAANAUGCGAGUACACUUACAUACCAACACAUUAAAUUACUAAUAAUUAAUUAGAUAAUCAAUUAUAAAUAAUAAUUACUUUAUUAUUAAAGUUAAAUUUACAUUUUAAUUAAUUUUUGUUCCCACUUGAGAAGAAACUUGUUUUAGAAAAAAUGAUGAGACAACAGUUACAAAUUUACACCAGGAUAUGCUUGUUUAUUUCAGAAAUUCGAGAAUUACUGUUUUUUUAAUUAAUUUUUGUUCCCACUUGAGAAGAAACUUAUUUCAGAGAAAAAAAUGAAACAACAGUUACAAAUUUAUAUCAGGAUAUGCUUGUUUAUUUCAGAAAUUCGAGAAUUACUGUUUUUGGGUAUUAAAAAUUAUAUUUGAAAACAAAGAAGGAAACAAAGACUUAUUCUCCCCUUUAAUAUAUUUUGUUAUUCUUCUUAAUUCUAACAAAAUGUCUCGGAAAAAUAAAUAAAUAAAAAAAAAACGUCAAUUGAAAGCAAGCCAAGUAGUUCCAAACAUCUGAAUAAUUAGCUUCGCACAUGAAAACCCACUUGUAAGAGUACAUUGCUUCACAGACUUAGCUCUCAGGAAGAUUGAACAGUGAAUCAAUCUUCCAUAUAGAUUGAGAAUCCCCUGGCACAAGAAGCAGAAAUAUUUAACUGAACAAUGGCUACUUUUUUUCACAAUAUUAACNUGAUAAGAGCAAUCCUCCGCCUUUCUCCGCGGACUAAUGAAGUAAUCAUCCGUCUCUGAAUCACUGGAUUGAAGUAUCAAUCGCCUCUUCCUCUCCUUCUUCACAUCAACAGAUUUACGCAAAGUUGCAGAAUCACAAGUUCCCUUCCCCUUCCUUCCAAAAUCGCCUCCUUUCUCCACAAACGACAUCAUAAACCCCAAUCCACCCAAUCCCAACCGAACAAAUCACGCCAAAUCGAUCGAAACACAACAAACCAAUCGAAUCAAACCACGAAAACACCCAACAAAUCCGUCCAUCCUACAUUAAACAAAAAAAAAUAUCCAAGAAAAAAAACCAAUUAAAACCCGAAAUCGGGAUCGAACAAGGAACUUUAAUCGGGACAAAAGCUACCUCUCCGAGGAGAUCACGCUCACGAGAUCAUCCGAUCGAUGCCGAAGCGAUCGAAGAGAUCAACGAAUCAAAGAUGCGUAGAACAAAUUAGGGUUAGAGAAUUAGGAAGAGAGAGAGAUGGGGAGAGACGCGAUUUUAUUUUCUUAUUUUCUUUUUUCCUUUUUCCGUCCUUUGGGAAGAGCGUUUAUAUACUUUGGUAUCGCGACCGUUCUCUCCCGGAAAAACACACGGUGUAACAGUUACAUGUCACGGUUUCUCAUACUGACAUGUGGGCCCCUUUGUCGUGGGUCCACGUGUCAUCCUAAUCGGAUUCGGUUUACGGUUCUGUUUAUACGGUGACGUUAAUUUCUUUUCUUUAUUUUCGGGUUCCCUCCAAAUUCUCUGUUGUGUUAUAAAGAGAUUGGGAUCUUUGGGACCGCAUACUCGCAAAGGUGUUAACGGGUUGGAUUAUAUUCAGAUCCGUAAAAGAUCCUACCAAUAAAAAAAUAGGGGUUAAUUACAUACAGGUAAGCCACAGAUAUAGUAAAUUACAAAUAUAUUUCUAUAAAAUUUAAUUUUUAUAAGUUAUUCCUACAAAAGUCAUAAUAAUUUUUAAGAUAUGUCCUUAUAACAAUAGAUUAAAUACUUUAUCCUAGUUAAUUUUUGAUAUUUUUACCCUUUUUAUAUUAUAUUUUUAUAAUUUUUAGAGUAAUAUAUUUGUAAUGGCAAAAUUGAUAAUAUAAACAGUUUUCUAAUGGCUCUCUAACGGUAACAAAACAGAGGAAUAUAUCUGAAAAUAUUAGAACUUUUGCAACUAUAAUUUAUGAAAGUUGAACUUUAUAGGUAUAUAUUUGUAAUUCAUUAUGUUUGCAAAGACUUGUAUAUAAUUAAUCCAAUAUAUAUAUAUAGAGAGAGAGAGAGGGGGUUGGUAUGCAGUAAAAUCAAAUAUACAGUAAAAUAUAUGAUUUUAAAAUUCGUGCUAUUUACAUGAUAAAUUAUAUAAAAAGGGGAAAAAAAAAUAAUGGGGAGCUCCCUUCACGAGGCCUCAUUAAAGAGGCCUAAUCCGAAGACACGUGUUAUUUUUAUCUCUAGUCAUAAAUUAUAAUUUUUUUCUAAAAUUAAUUUUAUUUUAAAUUUUUAGUACUAAAAAAAUAUUUAAUAAAUAAAUAAUUCGAUGAAAGUAAAAUUAACAUAUAGUAGCAAAUCUGAAGGUUCUCACUAAAGUUUUAAUCAGUUGGAGCGGUCUCGAAUCAGAGAUCGUCCCACCAAAUUUUUAUUCUGAAUCUCGACCAGAUUUAGUGCCAUCUCAUCACUUAUAAGUUAAUUAAUGACUAUAAUAAUGAAUGUCAAUAAUAAUUCUUUUUAUGGUACAAAAGAAUCACUAUCAAACUUUAUUGGAAUCCACUCGUUCUUUAUUACUAAAGGAAAAAACUACAAAUAUCAGUUUCGUACUUUUUCACUUUAAUAUUCUGUAAUUUAAAGUGUAUGUAAUUUAGUACUAUAUGGUUUCGUACUUUCUUAUUUUAAUAUUCUGUGAUUUAAGUGCAUCAAUUUAGUACAUUGUGAUUUUAUUUUUCUCUUUUUGUCAGCAUCUCUAUUAAUAUUUCGUUAAAUUAUAUACAAAAACAUUCAGAUAUCCUACUUAAGUUUAUCGAAUGUUUAUUUUAGUAUCCUUUAGUUUUAACUUUAUCACUGAUUUUUUUUCUCCAUUAAUAUUUCGUUAAAUUAUAUACAAAAAACUUCAGAAACCCUACUUAGUUUUAUCGAAUAUUUAUUUUAGUACCAUUUAAUUUUAACUUUGUCACUAAUUUAACGAAAAAAAUUAGUAAAAUAGAUAAUAAAAAGAGAAAAAUAAAACCACAAAGUAUUAACUUUAUACACUUUAAAUCAUUGGGUACUAAAAUAAGAAAGUGAGAAAUCACAGGAACUAACUUGAUACACUUUAAACCAUAAGAUACUAAAGUGAAAAAAUAUGAAACCACAUGGGGUUAUUUGAAGUUUACCCUUACUAAAAUUGUACACGGUAUUAUGAGUACUAGUUACGGAACCCCGCGCGUUGCGGCGGAAAGUCGAUAUAAUAGUCAAUUAGUAGAACUAUUAAUAUUAUUUUUUUUAUUAUUCAUUAAUAUUUUUGAAUAAUAUUUAUUUUCGUUGUGAGUAUAUUUAGAAAAAUAUAUUUUCAUUAAAACGUAAUAUUUGCCUGACAUGCAAAAGUUUACCCAGGAAAGGUUCUUUCUCUGAAGAUNGAGAGGCGCCAUCACGAAGGCGGAGAGGACGAAAGGACGGUGAGGGGGGCCAAUGCCGCGUCGUACGGAAGAACACGGUUGUGUUCCCGAGGGAGGAAAGCGAUGGCGUCGCGGCUACGAAAGGCAGGGGGGGCGCCUCCGUACGGGUAGGCGGAGAGCGCGAAGCGCGGGGAGGCUUCGGAAGGGAGGGGGGCGCCGCCGUACGGGAGGGCGGAGAGCGCAAAACGCGGGGAGGGCUCCAACCCUAUCGCCCUUUCAUAAGCUUAUAUUGAUUGAGUUUGCCUUGGGCUUCAUUAGAGGGAACAGAAAAGCUAAUAUUUGACAAGGUGGCCCCAUGAUGGUUCAUGGUUGUAGGGGCCCUACCAUCGGAUGAAAAUGGAUCGGAUAUUACAAUCCGAACCCGAAACCCAAAAUUAGCGGAUAUGGAUUAGAAUUUUACUAUCCGAUUCAGAUUCAAAUUCAAAUUUGGAGUUAGAAAUUAUUUUGAAUUGUCCUAAUUAGAAACUAAUUAUGCUAUUGUUUAAAUAUAUAAUGUAUCCUUUAAGUCUAUAUUUGACAUUAUUUUUUAAAAAAAUUAUCAAAUUUUUUUUAGUUUUUCUUAAUGUUUUUAUAGGUUUAGAAACCUUAAGUACAUGAUGGUAAUUUUUUUUUCCCUUUUAGUUUUAUAUUUAUUAAAUAUCCAAUUAAUAUUCACAUCCAUUUGAUAUUUGAUUCUCACCCGAAAUCAUUUUUAUCGGAUAUCAAUUUAAAUUUUAGCGUCUGAUUAAUAGAGUCCAGCUAUUAUGCUAUCAAUAGCAUGAAGCACUCGAUACUACUAAGUUUUUUACUGUUAGAUCCACCCCUAUGAUCGUUUUCAUCUAUUAGAUCAUACUAUUCAACCAACCACCUACUCAACCCUAGAGAGCCCACAUCAUUUUAACCGCACAUCUCUCAAUCCAAUGGUCGAAAACUUGGUAACACCAAUGAUUUGGUGCUAUUAAUAGCAUAGUAGUCUAGUUCCUCGAAUUUGGAUACAGAUUCUACAUAAAAAUAUAAAUAUUGGUUCUGGUUUUCAGAAAAUAUUUUAGAAAAUAAUUUUUUAACUAAAAAGGUAAUUUCUUCCUAUUUGAUUUCUAAAAAAAUAGGUUUUCCAUAAGCUUCUUUCAGAUUUUAUAAAAAAAUAGAAUUUUUAUUUUUCAAUUUUUUUAGAAAUCAGAGGCCGCGCACCCUCCCUCUACCUCUCUCGCCUCCGACCCUGCCGAGGCUAUGCCACAAUCCUCUUUUUUUUUUCUUUUUUCUUUUUGAUCAUUUUCCGUAGCCUUCUCAGUUCUUUACAAUAGUAAAGAAGACAACAUCACAUUCCCUUUCUCUUUUUUUUUUUUCUCUUGUUCUUUUUUUUUUUCUCUUCAACCUCCCAUCGCCUUUGUGACCCUCCACGGACUUGACUCGGAAAACUCCUGGCCAAGAUACAUGAUAUGUGGAAAGAGUUUUUAACUGUGUUGCUAUAUUGAGUUGAUUUUAGAUAUUCUAGUCAUAUGGUCGAAUGAUAAAGUUUGGUGAGUAACCAUAACCUUAGUUCCAUUGGGACAGUAUAUGUUGGAAAGAAAUAAUCACAUGAUAACUGUAAGCGAAAAGAUUUAUUUUUUAUUAUUAUUCUGGAUUGUCGUGAUAUACUGUUAGGUGUCACUCACACGGUGAGAGAAUAUGAAUGAUUUGAAUUAAAUUAUUCUUAUUUAUUAAUUAGAAGAGUUCUAAUUAAAUUUCAAAAAGUUUGAUGUUGGGCUCCACUUCUGAAUGGUAAUGAACUUAUACGGUCACACACAUUACGUAUUGUGUGCAUACUAAAGAGUUUAGUGUAAGUAAGUGAUGAAAAUAAAAAGAAGCUACUUAAUUAAAUUAGAUUUAAUUAUUCAAUUCACUUAUAACUGAUAGACCUAAUUAGAUUAGGAUUUCAUAAUCAGUUUGAAAAUUAUGCACAAGAUUUAAAUUUAUCUCUAAUUAGAUUAGUGGAUAAUAUUUAAUCAUAAAAGAUAUUUAAAUGAGAUUUAAAUAUUNCUGCACACUCCCCUGCCUCUCUCUUACAUACAUAAAACAGGACAUCAUGCGAGGCUCAGGAUUGUGAAUCCCCUAAAAGUAAAGGACCACGUCAAAUACUGCAUGGACUGGAUUUCUGCAACAAUAGCCGCAGGUUGCAGCGCUUGCCUUGAGGCCGCAGCGAUUGCCUCGAGGCCAUUUUAGGUGCCAUGCCACUACGGAGAAAUUCAUAAGAGAAGGCAGCAGCAAAAAGAAAGGGGAAAAAAUAUCCAGCAUCGCAAAAGCAGCAGCAAACAGAGAAGAACCAGAUUUUAAAAAAGUUACGAAUAUAAGUAAGAAAACAGAAAGAACUUAAAAGCCCAGGAAGGAAAGGCAAAAAACAGCCUAAGACCACAAAAAAUGAUCAACCAAACAUGUUCCUUCAAACAGCAUGGAAAGAGAAACUGCAAGGAAAGUAACACACACACACAGAAACGGCAAGGAAAACAAUAUGUUUAUAUAAACAAUAUGUUUAUAUAUAUAUAUAUAUAUGUAUAAAGCUAUAUAUUUAUAUUAGUGUAUUCAUCUGUUGGUGGAGAUGGAAGCCCACAUGUAAAAAUUUAUGUCAAUUGGCAGCAAGAGUAGGUAUGAGUAGGCAUGCGAAUCUCAACACUCCAUUAGAGAGGUAGAUUAUCAUUUCAAAAACACCACAAACAUGUUCAAGACAAAAAAAAAAAAGGACCUAAAAGCUGUAAGAAAAUUAGAGUCAGAGCAUAGUAAUAACCUGCAUUGAUAGCAAUAAAACACUAACCAAUUCCAAUAGACAAAGUCUCCACAUCUGUUUACCUCGGAUCUGGGCAGGUUCGGCAACUUCUAUCAGCUACCCCAACACCUUCCUUUUACUCUGUAAGGGAUGAACAAAAUACCAAGGAAUUAUUGAUAUACUAACAUCGCCUCGCCCCGAAACGAAGCAGCCACAAAGAGAAGAAUAAGCAAAGAGAUAUAGAAACCAACAGUGCAGAAUCCAAAAAAUUGCUAGCAGAGUUUGUUUAAAUUUGUAAACUAUUUUAGCAAAGUUUGUUUAAAUUGUUAGCAAAGCUAAUUCAAAGUAACCAAUAGCUAUAAAGAACUAUGGUGGACAUCAUGUUAAAAAAUAAAUCUUGGCUGAAAUUUAUGCCUUUAAAAAUUUGAUACCAACUAAGAAAUUCCAGUAAGAAAAUGAGAAGGCCAUAAUCUGGAUAAGUGCAACAAAAAAUGUAAAUAAAGUUCAUAAAAUACAGAUUCAUGCGAGGCUCAGAAAAGCAAUCCCAACGGAAAGAGAACCGAAAACAUUCUAGUAAAAAAUGCAAAUGAGAAGGCCACAUUCUGGAUAAGAGUAAGAAAAAUGAAAGAAAAAAAUGUUCAUGCAUAAAAGCAAACACAAUGAAAAUCAGAGCUGAAAAAACUUUAGUAAAAUGCAAUUGAGAAAGUCACAUUUAUAGAUUCUCUCUANAAUAAUUAAAUAUUCAUAAUUUCUUAUGAGAUAAGGUUUUUAGUAGAUUUGAUCUAAUUGGAUAAGUAUAAAUAUUUAAUUGAAGAGAGAAAAUUUUAUUAGAUAAGAUUUUAUCUGAAGGGAUUUAUAUAUAGGUAUAUAUGUACAUCAAUGAAAGUGAAUAAAAAUAAAAAUAAAAAAGGGAGAACAGUACGGCACUAUUAUUAUUAUGGUAAUUAAGGUGCCAUGCGUCUUAAUUGAGUAGAUAUGCUAGUUUUGAUGUACAUAUGUAUAAGCAUGAUUUCUCUUCUGUGCGCGUGUUUCUUUCCGAUCAACUUUUCUACCCUUCAUCGACUGGUGGGUCAUGAAGGGGUUGCUGGCACCAUCAAAAUGGUCCAUGACUCAUCUGGUUCGUGAGAGAAAGAUUGAUCGGGUCGCCAAUUCCAUGUGGAUACGCGUAGAGGUCGGGCAUGUGUGCAGCUAAUCGGAAUCUCCGUUUGUCAUAUUUAGUUUCAAUCGUACAGUAAAUCAAGAGAUCUUAAUUGGUUCACGGUAAAAUCUCUAAACAUAAAGAGUUUUCGUUUAGAUUAAAUUUUUGCAUAGUAAUAUAAAAAUGAUCUGCCGGCUACGGUUUGAUUUAUUUGUUUUCGAUUUUGAUAUGUGAAAUGUAUUUGACUUUCGAAAUAAUUUAAAAGUGCAAAACUAAUUUCUGAGUUUUUUUGAUCUACCGGUUAAUUUCUAACACCACUCCAUUGGCAAAUCCUUCACCCUCGCAUCUACCCCGCACACCCUCUCUCGUGCCCGCACACCCCCCAUCCUCGUUGCCUCUGAUCCUGUUGAGGCCACGCCGUACCAAGGGGUGGCGCUUUUAGAUGUAUUCUAGCUCAAUUAUUGUGUAUAUAGGAGUAAAUUAUAUAUUUUUUACUCUAAAGUUCUAGUAAUUUUAAAAUAAUUAAUAAACUUGGUAGAAAAAAUAUAAGUUUUUGAAUAGCUAAGUUGUAAUAUGCAUUGCUCUUUUAAUAAUUAACUAAUUAUUACAAUUCAAGAAAAUGAAAAUUAUAGAGUAAUAUAUAUCUAUAAAAUUUGUUCAUCAACAGAAUAAUAUCUAUAAUAAGUAAAAAAAAAAAAAAAAGAGGUUAACAUAUAAAAAUCAGUAAAACAAUUGUAAGUAGGCAAUGUUUUAUUUUGAUGAUCCUAAAGAAAUUCCUGCACUGUACUUUGAUGAUCCUAAAGAAGAAGAAGAAGAAGAAGAUGAUGAUGCUGAGAAAGAUGAGGAAAAUAAAGAAGAGAUAAAAAAAAAAAAGGAAGAAGAAGAGGAGGAAGAGUAAGAGGAAAGGGAAAAAUAUGAAGAAUAUGAAGAAGAAGAAGAGAUUACCCUCCCCCUCAAAAGAAAACAAAGAAGUGGACAGCCCCUCAAAGAAACCAAAGAAGUGGAGACUAAGCUUUCAGAAAAGCAUUAGUUGUGUUGCUCCAACUACUAAUGCUACUUAAAAUUUGGAAGCAUGGGGUAAAAAUGAUUUUUUAUUUCAUCUCCUAACAUUGGAGAUGAUUAAUGCUCCGUGGAAUAGGGUAAGUAUCAACCUUUAUGUUGUUUUUUCCCUGCUGUUGGAAGUUCAAGGCAGAUCAAAAGUAACUAAAAUGUAAACUGCACGUAACUGAAUUUGUUGCUCUUACAAUUCAAAUGAUGUUUUCUGUGAAUCAACAGCUUGUUCUUAAUAUCAUGUUUAAGGAGAGGUUCACCACCGAGCAGAAAAGAUAAAAUUAGGAGCUCUGGGCCUGCUUAUCGCCACUUCCUUUCAUCAUGCUAAAUUCAGUGGAAUGUUCAGCUAGCAGAAAAAAUUUAAAACUUCUACUAUGGCGAAAUGCUUAAAUACAAUCCAAUCUUCAAAAAAACAAUGACUAAUCACAAUAGGGAGCGAUAUUGAAAUACAGCUAAUAAAAUAAAAGCAAACAGAGUUCAAGCUACAUGCCAGAAUUUCUUGUAAAUUCACUAACCAGGGAAUACUUUCAUUUUCCUUAUAUCAUUGAUUGUAUUUUUGAAAACAUUGUGAAAUGCAUUAGUCAGUAGGUGUCAAAAGCUCCCACGCCGAUAAUGUCUAGAAUGCUACAUAAAACUCAAUCUUAAUCCCCUCGAAUUUUAAAUUAUCCGACUACCUAAAACCUCAGGUAUUCUGAUAUUCUGACUGCUAGUCUGCUUUCUUGCUUGAUUUGUCAUCAGAUUCUUCUGCAGCAGAACUGCUUGCCGAAUCAUCAUUCGCUUUCGAUUCGUCGUAUGCCAAUAGCUGAAAUUCAUAUAGUUUAUAGUUUAAUAAACCAUGACAAAAAUUUUCAAAAAAAUAAUAAAAAAAAGUGAUAAUUGUCAGCUCAUAUAAAGUUUAACUCCAAGAAAGUAAACUCAGAAAGUAUGAUGUACAGAACUAACCGGUUUUACUUCACCAUUCCACAGGCAGUGAACAGCCACAAAACCAACAACACCAGGCACUAUGUAUAGAAGUGCAGGCUGCGAAUGCCAAACGCAUGAGUAAAAAUGCAGGGAAAACAAUCUACAAAAUCACGCCGAUGAAUGCAAAUAAGAGCAGUCACCUGUGCAGCUUGAAACCAGUUCAUCACAAUGAUUGUGAGGAUCAGGCCUGCCGCGUAUCCAGCAAAUGCACUGUUGAAAUAACGAUUCUGUUUCCCUCUCGACACAUCAAAGCGCAGAGCUAAUGCAACGAAAAUACCUGAACAUUAAUAGGAAAUAGUAGUCAUAAUUUAGAAGAUUGCAAUAUGGAUUAUGUUUCUUUAACCAAUUAUGGCCAAGACAGCAUUUUCCAGCGCUAAUACUAAAUCAGCUAGUUAACAAGUCGACAGAAACAAAUAUUCUAAGGAAUUAAUAACCAGCAAACAUAAUACGGCUAAAACUUUGAUCAUAUUUAUGUUGUAUAGAAUGAUUCUACUUCCUAGCAAUAAUUCAAUUUCAUUAUUUAUUCACUGACUCUACAUUUAAGAUGACUUCCCAAUCUGGACAGCUUCUCAUUUCUACUGGCUCCUACGAGGAUAUACUUCAUUACGUCUAUAAAAAAAUGGAGACGAGAUUGCUAAAGUCUCUGCUCUUUGUUGGGUAGAAUACGACAUCAACUCCAGCAAUAGUAUUCGACAGAGGGAAGUAAAAUAGAAGAAACGGAAAACUGAUAAAUUUUGUAGCAACGGCUGAUGUAGUUUAUACUCUAUCCUAGCCCUCAACUUCAAUCCUCUCAUUCUUACACAGAGAAAUAUAUGCAUUCCUCUCAGUUAGAUAAUACAAAACUACUUGUAAGAAGCUACAAUUUUUAACAGAGGCAGCCCUAAUUGAAUAUGAUUAGGCUUUGUAACAACAAAAUUCAUAAACACUCACGGAACCUCCAGAAUUUCUAAGAAUUCACAUCUACUGAAGCAGGACAAGAUUACUCAACUUAAAAUAAGUUAAAUAGUUAGCCACCAAAGAAAGAAAAAAAUAAUAAUAAUAACAGAAGUAAGUCGUUCUCCAAGAAUUAGUACAUACCAGGUAUUACGAUAUCACCAAGUCCAAGCAUAGAGAAUGGACGUGCAGCAUCUGCUGUAGGAAAUAAAAGCUGCACAAGAGAAGACAAGUAGAUCUCAACCUGCAUGCUAAUGAACAUUGAAGAUAUUGCAAACCGAGAGUUAAAAAACAAGAUGCAAAAACUGACCUUUAUGGGAGCAUCAAAAGAUUUAGCAACACUAACCAUCACUGGAGUAAAGAAUACCCAGAAAAUGUCAUAGAUAAAGAGACCAGCCUACAAUUGAACAAAUAGGAAGUCCAUAGCUGAUCAGAACCUUUUUGUCCAAAAAAAAAAGGAAGAAAAAAUGAAACUAGAAGAAAAAAAGAAACUAGCACCGAAAUGAAGAAAUAUCAGAACAGAAAAAAUUAUCUAAUACAAUCUGACAUCUCUAUGCGAUGAUAAUGAUACUUGGGGCCAUAGCAUGAUGAUUAGAAUGCGCAAUUGAUGAACAAAAACAAGUCUGAGAAUGAAUAGGCUGGACAGAGGUACCAAAUGGACUGCACUCCACAAAUGCAUAAGCACAAGAAUUUAUUCAUUAUCAGACAGUUCAAAUACAUUUACUUGACAAAACUUAAAUCUGCAAGAAACACAAAAAGAUACUCAGAAAAUAAAAUAUUUCACUGUUGAAGAGAUAAUUUUGUAAUUCAGCAUACCAAAAGAAUGGCACCAGUUUUGAAUGAUCCUAAUGAGAGCAUCUCAAUUCCCUGUCAAGCAAAAAGAAUAAGGCAUCAGAAACGGCACCACAAAAUAGAUGUCACUUUCCAUCAGAAUCAAUAUAUUUGAAACAUCAUCCUUUUCUAGAGCUAUUGAAAGUUAACAACGAAAUUCACAACAAGUUCAAAUGCAAAAAAAAAAGCUAUAAUAAGUCUGUGUGCAUGAACAUGAGCAGGUGCACAUGUCUACAAAUCCGAAAGUGUCUGGGAAUGUAGUGAAUAGGAGCUUUUCCUCCUUAAUCUAUCAGGCAAAAUUUUCUCAUUUCUAGACAAGUUAAGAGUGGAUAUUCCUUCUCCUUUUCUUUUAAUGUGAUUAGCGAGCAUGAUAAGUUCCCAUAUUAGCUCUAUGCUCUCUUUCCUUUUACUCUCUGUAAUUGUUGAGCGCACUGGAAAGCCACAACCUAGUCCCUAGAAGCACACAUAUAAAUAUCGCAAAUAAGGGAAAAUGCCAACAAAAAUUUUGAUUAAAGCAAGAAAAUAUAUGUUCCUUCUUCCACAAAUUUUUCACAUAUGACACUGUAUAUCCUAGAGAGAAACCCAUAUGUUUUGGUGCACUAGUACAAACAAUUCUAAAUUUAAUGCAUCGAAAGCCUCAGAGACGUGAUUAAAGCACACAAAGGGUAAAUAAUCAUUAGAGUCAAUCAACUAAAAAUUUGGAGUUGCAAGAAAACCUGAAUGCAGAAAGCAAUCCCCAAAACAUUGUUUGCCAGCCAAUGCUUCUUUGAAGCAUACCAUAUGCAGAAAAAUGUUCCUGGGAUGGAAGCAACAACCUGAGACUUCGUGAAUUCCACUGAAAUAGCUGCAUUCAGUUAAGCAAUAGACCUAAUUAUUAUUGAAAUAGGAUGACAAUGAAAUAGAGAUGCGCAUGACAUCAAAUCCUUCCAGGUAGUGAAGAAAAUAUUCAACUUAUCAACUUUCACGUAAUGCCAGUUUGAGAAAAAAAAAUCUAGUGCAAUUUGAAUCCAAGUAAUAUGCAUUAUUUGAGACACAAACUCUAUCCUGCUCUGAUAUAAUUCUCAAAGCACGAAAUCAAACAUCAGAGGAAGUAAAAAGACUAGGACUUUUCUAAUAUUUCAGUAACUGAAAGAUCUACUAGUCCGUCAUUCAGGGGGGAAAAAAGAAGGAAAAAAAUUAAAGGACUUCUCUAAUAUUUGACUAACUGAAAAUUUAUUAGGCUACUAUCCCUCAUUCCGGAAAGGGGGAAAAACACUGAAAGAGAACAAGAGGGGGAAGAGAAUGCUUACAACGAAAAAAUGGAAUAUGCCAAACUAUGACAUUCUCGUUCCAAUCUUUUGGAAGAAAACGCUUAAUAGAGGGCAGCAACGUCGCACUACACGUGGAAACAAAGUACCAACAUUAAUAAGCAACAAAUUUACUCGACCAACUACUGUAUUUUAUCACAAAGAAUGAAAUUGCAGGAUCUGGGUCAAAGAGCAAUGACAUACGAAAGAGCGAUGACUCCAAGAACAAAAAAGUAACAUGUCAGAACAGCAUUAACCAAAUCCUUUGAGAGAAACUUGAAGAGGAGAAACAGAGAAAGAAGCAUGGCACUCCCGACCAAAGGGAAGCGCAUAGCAUGCUCGUUUGACAUAGUCUCCUGCAAAGAUUGGAAGUGCUCAUCAGCAGUAGCAUAAAAUCUAACAUACCGAUAAAAUUGUGAGUAACAGCCAAUAAGUGCAAUUUGAGAGACAAUUCUCACCGACGGCAGAGUUGGCUUCACCGAACGGUAGCAACCCACAUAAACAGUCAGACAUGCUGUUAGGAUCACAUUCAAAUUGGGAUUCACUUUAACGACAAGCGGAGCUAAGGUUAGAGCUGCAAGAAAGCAAUAAUCUUUACAUCAAUGUCGAGAAUACCAUACAACCAACUUCUCAUUCUAAGAAAGCACCAUUGAACAUUUACCAAAAUAAGAUAAACAAUACCUGCAAGAGCUAAAUUAGCAGCACGUUCAUGAGUCUUCAUCAUCAGCAACUUCUGAGUUGAAAAAUAGCAGCAACAAAUUUUGUAUGCAAGGAAGUUAUCUAGACCUUCUCGUAACUCAAAAUGGAGGAAACAGACCUCGACGCUCGCCUACACUACAUAGAGAUGAAAAUUAGGUAUUCAAAUCCCUCCCUUCUUACGAUCUGAGAAUUAACAACACAGACACGAAUCAUAUACCCUUCAAAGAAGCUGAUCUACACCAUAACAUAUGAAAAAGCUUAAAUUUAUACUAGUCUAGAAUGGGGCGGAAUCAAAUUAGUUAUAUAAAUAAGAUCACUUGUAUUUCUCUAUUCCAUAUUAAAUUACCCAAAAAAAGCACCUGUUUCCUAGAUCCAUCCUCCACAAAAAUCCAAAUCUACAUAGGUUCACAAAGAUCAAAGGAAAAAUCCCUCAAAAAAAAAAAAAACCGAAUACACACGCCAAAAGUGGAAAACGUCUGAUUAGGGUUUACCAAAUCUUCCCGGAGUCAACAAAAGCCACCGAUCUGGAUCCAAAACCCUAAUCCCCACGAAGUAUUUCGAAGCGCGGAGAUCGCGAGGGAUUCGAUCAACAGAGAGAGAGAGAGAGAGAGGAGGGAAAGUAAUGGGGCGUUACCUUCUUCGUCGAAAGCGUCGAAGGGGUUCGAAUCGAGCGAAGAGGAGAAGAGGAUGCGAACCGCGUGGCAAUGUCGAAGGAUGGGUAAGUUAGUAGGGGGGUAAGUUAGUAGGGAGAGAGGGCGUAACGUGGACCAGGUCUACCACCGAGACGGACCAAUUAGAAUUUGACAUGUGUAGGGCGUCUACCACGUCAUCUGAGAGGAAGUGUAGCAAGGAAGGAACACACCAAAUCAAACCUCACGAGCGCGUUCGACGGCGGCGAUCGCCGGAGAAGGUGUGGGAGGUGGAAGCUUCUGGACGAUUCGGUCGGAGAGGCGGGAUUUUGAAACCCUGGGCGAGAGAGAGGUGCGAUAGAGUGUGCUGAAAUGCAAGCGCGAUUUUUUUUUUAAAUUAAUUUUUAUUGAAUCCGGCUACUAUGCUAUUAUUUUAGUUACUAUCGAGUUUUCUGUCCUUAGGUAAUACAAUAAUACAAUAAUAAAUUAUUAUAAUUAUUAAUAUAUUAUUUAUUUCAGUAUUGAACAAUAAAAAAUUAAAAUAUAAAAAUAAGAAUGAAAUUAAAGUAAAUUUCUUUCUAAAAAUAUUUAAAUCUAAUAAGUAAAAUAAAUAAAUAAGUAUAAAAUAAAACAAAAAAUCAGUAGAUAAUAUAACUAAUAAAGUAUUUAAUUCCUAAAUUUUAAUUAGUGAAGAACAGUAGGUAAUUAUCAGAAGCAAAAAAAAUAAGACAAUCAAGACAUUCGAAAUCAAAACAGAUAUAUUUACACUGUAAAAAAUUCAACUACCCAUAAAUAAUCUUAAUAUUAUUAUUUUAUUAUAUAUAAAUUAAUUCUUAAAAAAUUGUGUGACCUCACACCCUCAAAAUAAGAAAAAGGCCUUCUUUAGUAUUGCCAAUUCAUAUAUGUUUUGAGGACUAAAGAAAAAAUAUACAAAAUUUAGAAUCAAAAUUGGCAUGCAAAAAAAGUUAAAUAGGCGAUGGCAUGAUAAUUUUGUUAAUUCUAAAAUAUUUUUUAACGGUUGCUAUUUUAUCGCGAUGAAAUUAAGAGGUUUAAAAAAAUUUAUUAACAAAAAAAAUGAUGGAAAGUUUGGAAAGUACUAUACAAUUAAUCCUAAAAAAAUUUGUGGGCCACACAACCCUCUAAAAUAAGGGGAGAUAUUUUUUGGAUUCCCAAUUAGAUGAAAUUUUAAUUUUGUUAUCUUGACUUUUAAAAAAUAAAAUUUCUCUAUACGAUAAAAUUUUAUAUUUAAUAUAGAGAAAAAUAUAAAAAAAAAGAUGUUGACAUUUAUUAGCUGAAAUUUUAAUUUUGUUAUCUUGACUUUUAAAAAAUAAAAUUUCUCUAUACGAUAAAAUUUUAUAUUUAAUAUAGAGAAAAAUAUAAAAAAAAAGAUGUUGACAUUUAUUAGCUGAAAUUUUAAUUUUGUUAUAUUGACUAUUAAAAAAUAAGAUUGAUUUAUAUGAUAAAAUUUUAUACUUGCUGUAAGCAAAAAUAAAAAAAAGUUGUUGAGAAAAAAAAAAGAAGAAGCAAAUGAGAGAGACUGAGAGAGAAAGAGUGAGAGAGAGGAAAAAGAAAAAAAAAAAAAAAGUGGGCCCCAUCGGAAGCCCCCCACACCCCCCAACCCAAACUCGGGGAGGCUUCCUUUGGAUUCCCAAAUAAUAAGUAUAUGUAAAUAUUCGUUAGAUUAUACUAUGCAACCAAUCAUCCACUCAAUCUUAGAAAAUUACUAUCAUCCCAACUAUACAUCUUUUCAUCCAACAGUCGAAAAUUCAAUAGUACCAAAUGCUUAGUACUAUUUAUAAUAUAGUAGCACAAUUCAUUUUUAUUUAUUUGAGUAACCCAUCGGAUUUUAAUUAAUAAUUAAUUAAAUUCCUGGCGAUCUAUCGACUAGUAUAAAAAAUUUUAUGUUUUAAAAAAAAUUAUUGCCUAGACAUCAAAUGGUAUAAAAAUCAAAAGCAUAUACAAAUUUAUGUUAGAUUUAUAAAACUAGGCGUAAAAAAUUACUUUUUUUUACACGGUCUCUUGGAAUGUUAUAGAACAUAUUACAUGAAUUACUAUUUUGAAUUUUGUUUGAUGGAUGAUGUAUAUUUUUUUUACAAUAAUUUGCGAGGGAUGGGGCUUAGGUGGUCGUUUAAAUCCUAGUUGUCGGGAUUGUUCUAAAAAAUUAAAUAGUUUUAUAAUUAAAUAGUUUCACACUUCCUUUUUUACAUUAAAAAAAUUAAAUAGUUUUAUAAUUUUUGUAAAAUCGAAUCAGUUUUUUAUCAGAGUUUACAAAUUGAGUCUAAAUUUGUUAAAGACAUUUUUUUUUAUUUUUUUAGAAAAAGAAGCUUGAAGCUUGUAAUAUCAAUAUCAAUAUCAAUACCAAUGCAUUAAAGGGCGAAACCUAAACUGUUUUGACGGUCUCUCCGCAAUUUCGGUGGAAUGGUCCGAACUCCCCCCCUCCCCUGCACCCUCUUCCGUACAUCUCUCUCUCUCAAUUGCACUCCUCACUCUCCCUCUUGGAACCCUAUAUGCCUAGGGUUCGUACUCUCUACCGCGCAGCCGCCGCUUGCCCUCUCCGGUGAUCCAGGAAUUUAAUGCGGCCACGGAUCCGUAUGGUGCUCAACCGGCGCCUUUUCCAUGGCCUCUCUGUGAUUUUUGAUGGAAUGGUCAGAACUUCCCCCUCCCCUGCACCCCUUUCUGUACAGGUCACUUUCUCUCUUUUCUCUCUGUGUUCAGCAAACCCUUUCGUUCCCCCCUCUCUUUUUCUCUCUGGGCAUAUGGCAAUUGCCGGGGAACAGAAAAAUCUGAGCCUUACUUUUGUAACAUGGUAGGUCGACUGGCCAUAUGGCAAUCGCUGUUGCCUUGGGGCAUCAGCAUGAAAGAACUAAAAGAAAAUAGAAAUACACUCUUUGAUACAAAGCUGUGAUGAUGAAACAAACUCCCUGAUGGGCCUAUUUCUCCUCUAACAACAUUUGCCUAUGUUACUUAGUUGCCUUUUUUCAUACAUUCUUCUUCCAUUCCCAAUGACAUGACAAGUCGACUGGGCAUAUGGCAAUUGCUGCAACCAUGGGGCAUCAGCAUGAAAGUACUAAAAGAAAAUAAAAAUAUGAUGAUAGACAAAGGCCUACUCGUUGGGGUUUGAGCCUCACUUUUGUAACAUGACAGGUUGACUGGUUAUAUGGCAAUUGUUGCAGCCUUGAGGCAUCCGUAUGAAAGAACUAAAAGAAAAUAGAAAUAUGAUGGUAAACAAAGGCCUACUCGCUGGGGGGACAAAAAAAUCUAACCGUUACUUUUGUAACUCGCUGUUCUCUGAAGGAUUACAAACAGUUUAUCGUCUUGAUUGCAUGAAGUUUUAACGAAUGCAAAUUACUUCUUCUACCAUCUAUAUUCUUAUUAUAGGAUUAUAAUAUCGAAAAAACAAUGCUUUUUAAGAGUUAACUACUUUUCGUUGUGCUUUUUGUUUUUUUUUUUCAUCUUUCUGCACUUUUUCCUCCUCCCUCUUUUGCCGCAAAUUUAUUUCCGCUGUUGUUAUAUUUGGUAGUCUAUUUAAAAGUUCUACUAUUUUUUGUUUAGUUUCUUUGUUUUUUUAAUUUAGAAUAGGUUCACUGCUAUCUAUAUCUAUAUAAAUUUAUGAAUCGAGAGUUCUUAUACAAGUGGCGGCAAAGGGAAUAGGGGGCAAGCGCGGGCGCCUGUGCGGGAGCCGGCGAGGCGCGGGCAGGGUGCGCGUGUGAGAUUUUUUUUAUUUUAAUUUUUUUUAGGGAUUGAGUUUUUAUUAAUCCAAUCUUUUUUUUAAUAAAAAUUUUAAAUAUAUAAUUUUUUAUACAUAAAUUUUAAAAUCUAACAUAUAGAAUGGUUGGAUAGUACCGUGCUCGCCCCCCGCUCCCUUCGCACAGGCGGGGCACGCGUGCAAAAAUUUUUUAAUUUAAUUUUUUUAGGGAUUUAGCUUUUUUUUUUAAUUCAAUCUAAUUUUUUUUAUUAUAAAAAUUUUAAAUAUAUAAUUUUUCAUAUGUGAAUUUUAAAAUCUAACAUAUAAAAUGUUGGAUAGUAAAAAUAAAAUUUUAAAAGAUUGAAUAGAUGAUUCAAAAUGAUUCAUCAUUUAGAAAAAUUUUAUACGAUUUUAUUUUCAUUUUAGUAUCAAACUUUAAUAUUGUAUUACAAUCUGAUAAGCGAUUUAAUUUUACAUCUAUAAUUUUUGAAAUAUUCAAAAUAUGAUUGGUCGACUUUUAAUUUUAACAAUUACACAUUAUAAGAUUUGUUAGAUAGUUUAACAUAUUUUUUCUCGAAUAAAAUGACUAAUUAAACAAAAUCGAUCGAUGCUCAACUCUAUCUUCAUUUGGAAUAAUUACACUUUUGGUUUAGUAAGACUCGUGACAAUUGUUCCAAAUAUUUUUUUUAAAUAAAUAUUGUGAUCAAAUUGCUUACACUUUAAGUCUUCAAAUUAGUAAGACUUAGUUUGAUAUUGAAGUCUGUUGCUAUUAGAUAAAAUAAAGUUGGGAUAAAAGCAUCUGCUUCUAUGUUCUUCAGUGGAAUCGUGAAAAAUAUAUCGUAACCAACUAAUCGUGAAUAUGCGGAACCCAAUAUUACGUACGAAAACAAUUUGGGUAUUUUCCAAUCGUAGUUUCUCACACAAGUAAUGCAAUCUACUUGCAAUCCUAAACAAAACGUUAACCAGUGACAAUUGUUCCAAAUAUUUUUUAAAACAAAUAUUGUGAUCUAAUUGCUUAAUUAAAUAUCAUAAAUAUAUAUGUAUCACUAAUUAUUAAAUAUUUUAUUAAUUAUUUAAUAUACUGUACGAUGUAUGAAACAUUAAUAUAUACUAGGUGUAAAAAAAGAUUUUUUUUUUCUCNUAGAUGAUUCAAAAUGAUUCAUCAUUUAGAAAAAUUUUAUACGAUUUUAUUUUCAUUUUAGUAUCAAACUUUAAUAUUGUAUUACAAUCUGAUAAGCGAUUUAAUUUUACAUCUAUAAUUUUUGAAAUAUUCAAAAUAUGAUUGGUCGACUUUUAAUUUUAACAAUUACACAUUAUAAGAUUUGUUAGAUAGUUUAACAUAUUUUUUCUCGAAUAAAAUGACUAAUUAAACAAAAUCGAUCGAUGCUCAACUCUAUCUUCAUUUGGAAUAAUUACACUUUUGGUUUAGUAAGACUCGUGACAAUUGUUCCAAAUAUUUUUUUUAAAUACUUUAAGUCUUCAAAUUAGUAAGACUUAGUUUGAUAUUGAAGUCUGUUGCUAUUAGAUAAAAUAAAGUUGGGAUAAAAGCAUCUGCUUCUAUGUUCUUCAGUGGAAUCGUGAAAAAUAUAUCGUAACCAACUAAUCGUGAAUAUGCGGAACCCAAUAUUACGUACGAAAACAAUUUGGGUAUUUUCCAAUCGUAGUUUCUCACACAAGUAAUGCAAUCUACUUGCAAUCCUAAACAAAACGUUAACCAGUGACAAUUGUUCCAAAUAUUUUUUAAAACAAAUAUUGUGAUCUAAUUGCUUAAUUAAAUAUCAUAAAUAUAUAUGUAUCAUAUUAUGAAUUAAUUAUUUUAAUUAUUUAAUACUAAUAUUAUUAGCCAUUUACUUGGAUAUAGAGAGAGAGAUACAUUUUUUUAUGAUGAAUGAAGCUAGAUCAAUUAGACGGCUAGAAUUAUAUAAGAGAUAGAACAUUCGAUCUUAAUGGCAAUGCCAUAUUUUAGAAAGGCCCGAUUGGGAUCUAUACUCAUGUUUUAAUUACACCGUACACCGACUCUAAAUUAUGUGUCAAAUAUAAAUUUAUAUUAUAUAGUAAAUUAUUUAAGUAUUUUAUAUUAUAUUUUAUUUUACACUACUGAUUACUAAAUAUUUUAUUAAUUAUUUAAUAUACUGUACGACGUAUGAAGCAUUAGUAUAUACCAGGUGCAAGAAAAAAUUUAUUUUCUUUCUUGAAACUAUGAGUACAUUAAAUUAAGCAUUCUCUGCACCGAGUGUAUAUAUGCAUUGGGUGUUACUUAAAAUCUUUUAAUAGAGAUUUGAAAGUCUAAUUCAUUCAAUAAAAUAUAAAUUAUUAACUUUGUAGGUCAUAUAUGUUUAAUUAAAUUUUGAUAUCAAAAUAUUUAUCAUCGAAUAUAAGUCGUGAUAUAUAGAAUGUUAAUAUAUAUCAUGUGCAUGUAACUUUUUAAGUAAAAAAGUUAUUUAUAGAACAAUUUUCAAAACUAUUAAAUUUGAUUAUCUUUUAAAUAAAGUUGUUAGAAUAUUAUAACUAAUCAAAAAUUAAGAAAAUAAUAAUAAAAUAUUAUUUUUUGUAAUGCACAUAACACUAUUUGAUAAUAUUUUUAUCUAGUUAUAAUUUUUUUUAUCUUACAAGUUUAAUAAUUAUAUAUUUAAAUUGAUUGAAAUAUAAUCUAUACACUGCGAAGCACGGGUCCUGCACUAGUUUAUUCAUGAAGAGGUUUUAUUUUUUGUAUUUUAGAAUCACCUAAUUGUAGCUUUCAAGCCACCGUACGUGUAAUAUUUCAAUCACAUUUUCUAAUGGCAAAACAUGAAAGCAGGUGAACGCUUUAAUUAUCCAUUUUAAGUUGGUGAUUCAAUUUUGCUUUUGAAUGCAACUCUGAAAAAAAUACAUGCGGUCCACUGCAUCAUAGAAUUGUGGUGUUUUAUUUUCUUAAUCAAUUUUUAUUUGUGUGUGUCUAUAUAUAUAUAGAAUUGAGCUUCUAUGCUUUUAAAAUUACCAAAUUAUUGGUAUUUGUAGAUUUUUGGUUUUUGGCUAUUAGAUUAAGGGAUGUACUGUUACAAUGGUGUGAAACUUCUAGGGUUGAGUGGGUGGUUGGUUGAAUAAUAUGAUCUAACGGGUGGAAAUGAUUAAAGGGAUAGAUCUUGGUAAAAUAUUUAUAAACACCGAUUCCAUAGCCAGACUAUAUAUAUAUAUAUAUAUAUAUAGCAUAAGCUCGGCCGCAUCAGUAGAUCUCUAACUCCUACGUCUAGCUGUGAGACUCCAGAUAGUCCUAUAUAUAAAAUAUAACCAAGAGGUUAAAAGAGUUAAGCAUAUAUAGUAGGACUAGUGUAGUCCUAGGAUGGGUGACCCCUUGGAAAGUUGGGACGUCACACCAGCAGUGCGACGCGUGAUACGGAUACUUCUUGCGUAAAAAAAACAGACAGCUACUUAACGGAUGGGCAAGCUUCAGUCUUGCAUAUCAGUUCUCUGUUCAAAAUAAAAAAUAAAAAGAUUAUUAAAAUCUGUUGAAUUAAGCAGCAUAAUUAAGUAAUAUAAGUAAAAAUAGAAAACUAACUCACACCGGCCACAAACUAGGUGUUUAUCACUGAAGCGCUCGUUAGUUCAACAAUUAUCCUUGGGAUGUGAUCUGAAAAAGCAAUCAAAAAUAAAAAAUAAAUGUAUUAAAUAUGUUAUGGCCUUUAUUUAUACCAAACAUAUUAUUGCCAAAUAUAAUUUUUCUUAAUCUAUUUCUAUUUGUAUAUAAUAUAUAUUAUAUUUAAUUAUUUAAAUUGAUUAAUCAUAUUAUUUUUUGGGUUGUUUACAAUGCAUUAAGCAUGCUACGGACUUAGGGCGUGCCGUUGGUAUUUUUUUUCUUCUUUCUUGUGUUUCUAUCUUCUAUUAACUUUUUUGAAUCAUUUUUUUCAUGUUAGUACAAAUAAUAAGUUAUGGUAGUUUGGCGAUAGAACUACUGCACAGGAAAUAGAAGCUACAUAAGAGAAGACAUGUAUAUCUAAAAAAGCAAUAAAAAAUAAAAAAAUAUAAAUGCAUUAAACAUAUUACGGCUUUUUAUUUAUGCCAAACAUAUUAUUGCGAAACAUUAUUUCUAAAUAAAUUAUAUUUUUUGGAUUGCUUAUAAUGCAUUAAACAUUUUACGACCUCUACUUGUGUCAAAUAUAUUAUUUCCAAACAUAAUUUUCUUAAUCAAUUUUUAUUCAUAAAUAGUUUAUGCUAUAAAUAAAUUACGAACCCCACUCUUUUUCAAUCGAACCUAUCCGAUUUCAGCACCGUCCCCUCCUCUUUUCUUUGGUAGUAAUGACGUCUGAUUCGGCGACGGGACCGGCCUCUUCUAUAGUGCUGACGCUUGAUUUUUCUGAGAACUUUUUCAAUUUAUUUCGGAUUCUCGUCGUAUCAGACGACAUGCCUUUUCUUGAAGCCGUUUCCAGCGGACUUAUAGCUAGCGGUUACUAUAGUAAUUUUUUUUUCCUUUUUUUUAAGUUUGUAUCUUUUUUAAUUUUUUUGAAUUAUUUUUUUUCCCAUGUCAAUGCAAAUGAUAAGUUUGGGUGGUUUAGCAAUAGAACUACUGCACACUAUAAAUACAAAGUUUCAUAUUAUUUUACUCGAUGCUUCUUUGAGAAACUUGCAGCCAUGGAUACUUUUAUAUCAUAUCUAAUGAUAUUUCAAAAUAUUUGUGUUAUUGGUCAGUAUUUAAAACUUUUAUGAAAGUUUAUAGUACAUCUUUUCUAGUAUAAUUAUUUUUAAUUUAAUUUUAUUUAUUAUUACAGUAAUAACAGCAAACUAUACGUCUGUUUUCGACAAGAGAAGUAUUGAUCAAGGGGCGUUACUUGUCAUCGAGAAGAACCGAAUUGAAUCAAUAUAUUAAUAUUUUGGCAAAGGAAAUAGAAGCUACAUAAGAGAGGCAAAAGAAAUAGAAGCUAAAUAAGAGAAGACAUGUAGAUCUACAAAAACAAUAAAAAAUAAAAAAAUAUAAAUGCAUUAAACAUACUACGGCCUUUUAUUUAUGCCAAACAUAUUAUUGUGAAACAUUAUUUUUCUUAAUCAAUUUCUAUUCUAAAUAAAUUAUAUUUUUUAGACAGCCUAUAAUGCAUUAAACAUUCUACGAAAUCUAAUUGUGUCAAAUAUAUUAUUUCCAAACAUAAUUUUCUUAAUCAAUUUUUAUUUAUAAAUAUCUUACGUUAUAAAUAAAUUACGAACCCCUCGCUUCUUCAAUCGAACCCAUCCGAUUUCAGCACCGUCCCCUCCUCUUUUCUUUGGUAGUAAUGGCGUCUGAUUCGACGACGGGACCGAUCUCUUCUAUAGGGCUGGCGCCUGAUUCUUCCGAGAACUUUUUCAAUUUAUUUCGGAUUCUCGUCGUAUCAGACGACAUGCUUUUUCUUGAAGCCGUUUCUAGCGGACUUAUAGCUAGCGGUUACUAUGGUUUUUUUUUUUUGUUUUUUUUCUUUUCUUUAAGUUUGUAUCUUUUAUUAAUUUUUUUGAAUUAUUAACCGCUAUGGUAAUUUUUUUCCCUUUUUUUAAAGUUUGUAUCUUUUAUUAAUUUUUUUGAUUUAUUUUUUUUUCAUGUCAGUGCAAAUGAUAAAUUUGGGUGGUUUAGCGAUAGAACUACUGCACACUAUAAAUGCAAAGUUUCAUAUUAUUUUACUCGAUGCUUCUUUGAGAAACUUGCAGCCAUGGAUACUUUUAUAUCAUACCCAACGAUAUUUCAAAAUAUUUGUGUUAUUGGUCAGUAUUUUAAAACUUUUAUGAAAAUUUACAGUACAUCUUUUCUAAUAUAAUUAUUUUUUAAUUUAAUUUUAUUUAUUAUUGCAGUAAUAACAGCAAACUAUACGUCCAUUUUCGGCAAGAGGAGUAUUGACCAAGGGGCGUUACUUGUCAUCGAGAAGAACCGAAUUGAAUCAAUAAAUUACAUAUUGUGGCAACUCGUAAUAGGAAAGGGAAAAUCGAAUUUAGAAAUAAAAAGUUUGAAUCAAUGUAUUACAUAUUGUUUCGUGGCAACUAUUCUUAUACCGAUCCUCUAUAAUAUUCUGUUCAGCACAUUCAUUGUAUUGCCCUCGCAUUUUCUCUUGCUCACUUACUGUAGCCCCUUCUAGAGAAUUAUAAUUAAUAUCCCUUUUUAAUAUCUUCAGCAGCAACAUGGAUACUAAUCACUCUUCUAAAGUAGUAAGAGUAGCUAUGUAUGAUGUUUGGAAUAGUUUGCUCCCUUUCAAUAUGGCAUCCAUAUAUAACUCUUGUAAUAUAACUGACUCCAAUGCUAGUAUAACUCUUGAUUUUCUUUUUUUGAUUGUUUUCGUAGAUUGCAUUCCGAUGGCGAUUGCUGAAGUAAUGAGUGUUUUAAGGAUAGAUACUCAAUCUGUCGCGAGUUACAUGCGGCUUAGUUUUCUAUUUUCACUCAUAUUGCUUAGUUAUGCUGCUUAAUUCAGUAAACUUUAAUAAUCUUUUAAUUCUUCGGUUUUAACAGAGAACUGGUGUGCAGGCUAUAGCUGACACAUCGGUUGGGCAACUGUCUUCUUUUCUUGAGUAGAUUGUUGCGCAAGAAGCACCCGCAUAGCGCUUCGUAGUGCCAGGCUUAAGAACUAGGGAUCCACCAGCUAACGCAGGCGAGCAGGACCAGCAGAUGCUGUCUGAUCUGGAGUAUUUACUAAAUGACUCUUAUUGGCCAGAUGAUGAGUUUAAUUUUCCAGAGCUGCAAUUUGUAACCAAUUAGCAGUAUGAACUUUAGCUGAAAAUUGUCUCUUAAAUUGCACUUAUUAGUUGUUCUCUGGUUAUUAUUAGUUGAAUUUGAGAUUUGAGAUGUAUUUAAGAUUGAGAUGUCAAAUAGCAUUCUGGAUAUUGACAGCGUGGGAGCUUUUGACGCCUACUGACUAAUGAAUUUAACAAUGCUUUAAAAAAUACAAUCGAUGAUAUAAGGAAAAAGAUAGUAUUCCCCAGUUAGUGAAUUUAAUUUUAUUUGUUAUUGUUGUAAUGACAAUAGACUACACGGCCCUCUUCGCCAACAAGAGUAUCGACCAAGAGGCACUCCUCGUCAUUUAAAAGGACCGGGUUGAAUCAAUAUAUUACAUAUUGUGACAAUUUGUAAUAGGGAAAAAAAAAUCAAAUUUAGAAAGGAGCUCGAAGUAUCGAGGAAGAAAGGUCAGUUCGGAUGACAACGCGAGAACCGAUUUCGAGCAUGCUUACCGGCUUGCCAGUAUAGGUAAUGUAGUAUAAAUAAUAUUUUAACACCAUAAAGAAUGAGCGUGGAUGAUCUGCUGUAGGAAAUAGAAGCUACAUAAGAGAAGACAAGUAAAUCUACAAAAACAGUAAAAAAUAAAAAAAAAAUAAAUGCAUUAUACAUACUACGGCCUUUUAUUUAUGCCAAACAUAUUAUUGCGAAACAUUAUUUUUUUAAUCAAUUUUUAUUCUAAAUAUAUUAUAUUUUUUGGAUUUCUUAUAAUGCAUUAAACAUUCUACGAUCUCUACUUGUGUCAAACAUAUUAUUUCCAAACAUAAUUUUUCUUAAUCAAUUUUUAUUUAUAAAUAAUUUACGCUUUAAAUAAAUUACAAACCCCUCUCUUCUUCAAUCCGAACUCAGCAUCAUACCCUCCUCUUUUCUUCGGUAGUAAUGACAUCCGAUUCGGCGACAAGACCGUCCUCUUCUACAGCGUUGGCGCCUGGUUUUUCUGAGAACCUUUUCAAUUUAUUUCGGAUUCUCGUCGUAUCAGACGACAUGCCGCCUUUUCUUGAAGCCGUUUCCAGCGGACUUAUAGUUUGCAGUUACUAUGGUAAUUUUUUUUCUUUUUUUUUGUUUUUUUAUUCUUUUCCUUUUUUUAAGUUUGUAUCUUUUAAUAAUUUUUUUGAAUUAUUUUUUUUCCCUGUCAGUGCAAAUGAUAAGUUCGGAUGGUUUAGUGAUAGAACUACUGCACACUGUAAAUACAAAUUUUCAUAUUAUUUUACUCGAUACUUCUUUGAGAAGCUUGCAACCAUGGAUACUUUUGUAUCAUACCCAACAAUAUUUCAAGAAUAUUUGUGUUAUUGGUCAGUAUUCUAAAACUUUUAUGAAAGUUUAGAGUACAUCUUUUCUAGUAUAAUUAUUUUUAAUUUAAUUUUAUUUAUUAUUGCAGUAAUGACAGCAAACUUUAUGUCCAUUUUCGACAAGAGGAGUAUUGACCAAGGGAUGUUACUUGUCAUCGAGAAGAACUGAAUUGAUCAAUAUAUUACAUAUUGUGACAACUCGUAAUAAUAGGGAAGGAAAAAUCAAAUUUAGAAAUAAAAUUUGAGUGAUCGGAGAAGAAUGGUCCGUUGGGACGACAACAUGAGAACCGGUUUUGAGAUUACGUACCAGGUAGCCAGUGCAGGUAAUGUAGAGUAAUAAUACUUUAACGCCAUAGAGAUGGGACGUGCAUGAUCUGCUGUAAAAAAUAGAAGUUAAAUAAGAGAAGACAGUAAUAACGGCCCUUGCAUCAAUACAUCAUUUCUAAAUCCUUGGCAAUGCCCCACCUUCACCGCAAUAGUUCUCCACACUGACAGUAAUGACGGCAAAGGCUCCUUCCGUUGCAUACUCCGAUCUCUCCCUUUCCCAGUUGCCUAAAUCCUAAACCCUAAACUUCUUCCUUUUUUUUCGUUUAUUACGUCGUUUUAUGUUAGAUUAUAAUUCCAUUCUAAAAUUUUUUUAUAUUUUUUAUAUUAUUAACUCCUUUUUUAUAUUUUUAUUUAUUUAUUAAUUUAUAAAUUUUUACUAAAAUGUUCGUAUCCGCCGCAUCGCGCGGGCCUCUACACUGUUAUGAUAUAUAAAUUAAUACGAAGCUUAAUAUUAUAAUUUAUAUUAAAAAUAUGAUAUAUAAUACAUAAUUAUUGGAGAAUAUAAAUUUACUUAUCAUCUGUAACUAUCAUUAAUUAUAUGCAUUAAUAUUUUUAAAUAUUAUUUAUCUCAAUUUUUAAUAAUUAAAUUAAAGAAUAAAAUUAAAGCAUAUUUCUUUCUAAAAAUAUUUAAACCUAGUAAGUAAAAUGAAUAAAUCAGUUUAAAAUAAAAUAAAAGCUCAUUACAGUAUUAAAAAGGAUAAAUAAUAUUUCUCUAUUAUCACCAAGAUAGAAUUUACAAAUAAAAAAAUAUUAAAAAUUUAAUUGGAGUGAAAGCACUAUCUUUGAUAUCUUUGGUGGCAAUGUCUUUAUUGUCAUUACUGAUGAUGAAAGGAAGCACUCGUUAACUUUUAUUGUCACAAAUACAACUAAUAAAGUAUUUGAUUACUAAUAAAAUUUUGGAUUAGCGAAAAAAUCAAUAGAUAAUUAUCAGAAGCACAAAAAAAAAAGACUAAUUAAAAGGCAUUCGAAAUCAAAAUAGAUAUUUUUUACACUGCAGAAAAAUUCAACUACCAAAAUAAAUAUUCUAAUAUUAUAUAUUAAGAAAAAAUAAAUUCUGUAGCUUAUAAUUAAGAUUAAUAGCAUACGAAUUAACAAAAUAUUACUCAUAUGAAUUAAAUAAUAUUAUUUAACUGGAGAAAAAAAAGCUAAUAUCAAAAAAUCAUCCAAGAAAUUUUUUUUUCAAAAGUUGCAUUCUCUCAUUUCAAGACAGUAAUUUCUUAAUUUUGAAAAAAUAAAAAAAAUUAUUCACAUUUUCAAUUAAAUAUCAUGAGUCAAUAGUCACAAUUCCAAGAGUCUUUAACUUAAUUUGAAUAUUAAUAUAUGAAUACCUAAUGUACAAAAUACAAUUACAUUGUUAAAAAGCUUAUCAUAAUUUUUAUUGAAAGUAGAAAAAAUUAUACAUUAGAUGCCGCUCGCUAAUGGCCCAUUAUCUUGUAUCUACUCUUAUGUAGCAAAGCGUUUGAGAUGAUUAAAAAAUAAUAAAUCAACUUGAUAGCUCAAAGAUAGUUGUUCUCAUUCAUCUUAAUUUAAAUUAAAUAUUUAAAUUUUAAAUUAAAAUUUUAAGUUUUGAAUGCAAAUUCAAAUAUCAAAAUCAAAAUAAAAAAAUGGGAAAACUUCAAAAAACCCUCCUGUGGUUUCAUAAUUUCUCACUUUGCCCCCAUGUGGUUUAAAAUGUAUCAAUUUGCCCCCCUGUGGUUUUAUUUUUCUCUUUUUCUUAUCAAUUUCAUUAUUUUUUUCCUUAAAUUAGUAAUAAAGUUAAAAUUAAAGGUACUAAAAUGAAUAUUUGAUAAAUAUAGAUGAGUAUCUGAAGUUUUUUGUAUAUAAUUUAACGAAAUAUUAACGAAAAAGCUACUGAAAAGAUAAAAACGAAACCAGAGGGGGGCAAAUUGAUACACUUUAAACUACAGGGAGGCAAAGUGAGAAACUACGAAACCACAGGGAGGGUUUUUGAAGUUUUCCCUAAAAAAAUUAACUUUAAAAUCAAAAUGUAAAAAAUUUUAGUUUGAAAUCAAAAUUUAGAUUCAAUUUAAAAUUAUAAUUCAAAAUUAUAAUUACUAAUUAGUUGAAAAUUUUAAUUUUAAGCUUAAUUCCGGAUUUAAAUUCAAAAUUUUAAAUUUUUAUUUUUGGGACUAAAGUGAAAAACAUACAAAUUUUAGGAACUAAAAUUGACAUGCAAAAGAAAAUUAAAUAAGCGAUGGCAUGAUAAUGUCGUUAAUUCUAAAAUAUCUUUUAACAGUGUCAUGUUAUCGCGAUAAAAUCAAGAGAUCUAAAAAUUUGAUUGCAAAAAAUAAAAAGAUUAGGAAACAAAAUAAAAUUAGUGAGAAGGUCGGAGACCAAUGUACAAUUAAUUCUUAAAAAAUUAUAUGUGGGCCCAUAUCCCCAAAAUAAGGGGAGGGCUUCAAACCUGUUUGGGAUUCAUGUAUUUGAUUUGAUGAUUUGAUGAUUUGAUACCGCAUAUGUGAACUUAUUGAAAACUAAAUAGAUCCAUAGUAACCAGAUGCAUUUACCAAGGAAAAUUAGAAUCAAAUAGCAAGACAAAAAUUUUAUACACGUUGCAACCUGAUAAACACGAGGCUAAAACAGUAAAUGGGUCCGAUGAAGGUGCAAGCCUGUAGCAUAAAAAUUAAUUAAUGAAUCAGAGAUAACCAAAUGGUAACUGACUAGCUGUAGUAGGGGGAGAGAGCGUUACGUGGACCGGGUCUACCUUAGAAACGGACCAAUUAGAAUUUGAGGGUCGACCACGUCAUCUGAGAGGGAGUGUAACAAGGGAAUCCUGUAAUUCGCUGCCUACGAAAGAAGGAAAACGCCUAAUCAAUCCUAUGACGAUGAUUCGCUGCCUAUUUUAUUUCUAUUUCCUUUCUUUCUCUCGGUCUCUUCUACUCCCCACCUCGCCAUCUCCCCAAACUCCUCUCUUCUUCCUUCAAUCGACCCCAGCCUCUCUUCUUCGGUAGUAAUGGCUACCGAUUCGGCGACGGGAUCGUCCUCUUCUACAGCGCCGACGCAUGGUUCUUCGGAGAACUUUUUCAAUUUACUUCGAAUUCUCAUCGUUUCAGACGACAUGCUUUUUCUUGAAGCCGUCUCCAGCGAACUUAUGGCUUGCGGUUACUAUGGUGAUUUUUUUUCCUUUUUUUGUUUUUUUGUUAUUCUUUUUUUCUUUUUUUAAAGUUUGUAUAUUUUAUUAAUUUUUUUGAAUUGUUUUUUUUUUUUUUCCUGUUAGUGCAAAUGAUAAGUUCGGGUGGUUUAGCGAUAGAACUACUGCACAAGCCAAAUGCAAAUUUCCAUAUUGUUUUACUCGAUGCUUCUUUGAAAAGCCAGCCGCCAUGGAUACUUUUGGAUCAAACCCAACGAUAUUUCAAGAAUAUUUGUGUUAUUGGUCAGUAUUUUAAAACUUUUAUAUAAGUUUACACUACAUCUUUUUUAAUGUAAUUAUUUUUAAUUUAAUUUUGUUUGUUAUUGUAGUAAUGACAGCAGACUAUACGCCUGCCUUCGCCAAGAGGAGUAUUGAUCAAGGGGCAUCACUUGUCAUCGAGAAGGAACGGAUUGGAUCAAUAUAUUACAUAUUGUGGCAACUCGUAAUAGGUAAGGAAAAAUUGAAUUUAGAAAUGAGAAGCUUGAGGGAUCGGAGGAGAAUGGUCUAUUGGGACGGCAACACGAGAACCGAUUUCGAGCAUACUUACCGGCUAGCUAGUGCAGGUAAUGUAGAGUAAUAAUACUUUAACGCCAUAAAAAUGGACGUGCAUUAUCUGAUAUAGAAAAUAAAAGCUACAUAAGAAAAGAGAUAUUGCAAACCAAUAAUUAAUAGACAGUAUGAAAAAAAUAAACCUUUAUGGAAGCGCUAACCAUCACUGGAAUAAAGAAUACCCAGAAAAUGUCAUAGAUAAAAAGCCUAGCCUAUAAUCGAACAAAUAGGAAGUCCGCAGAUGAUUAGAAUCUUUUGUCAAAAAAAAGAAAAGAAAAGAAAAAACGAAACUAGCAACCAAAUGAAGAGGAGCAACCAAUGAAGAGGAAACAUCAGAGCAGAAAAACUAUCUAAUACAAUCCGACAUCUCAAUGCAAUGAUGAUGAUACUUGGCUAUAGUAUAAUGCUUAGAAAGGAUGAGCAAUUAUGAACAAAAACAAAAAAAAUCUGAAAAUAAAUAGGAUAGACAGAGGUAUCAAAUGGACAUAGAAUUCUGUAAUUCAGCAUUCUAAAAGAUAGGGAGAACUAUUCUUGCACUGAUCCUCUAAGAUAGGGAGAACUAUUCUUGCACUGAUCCUCUAUAAUAUUCUCCUCUGCACAUUCAUUGUAUUGCCCUCGCAUUUUCUUUGUUCACUUAUUGUAGCUCUUUCUACAGAAUUAUAAUUAAUAUCCUCUUUUAAUAUCUUCAGCGGCAGCAGGAUUACUAAUCACUCUUUCUAUGUGUAAUAUUUGGAAUAGUUUGCUCCCUUUCAAUAUGGCAUUCAUAUAUAACUCUUGUAAUAUAGCCGACUCCAAUGCUAAUAUAUGUUCAAUUUGAUUUUUUUUUUAUUGUUUUUAUAGAUCGCAUACUAGGGAAGAUUGCUGAACUAAUGAGUGUUUUAAGGAUGUACACCCAAUCUGUCGCAAGUUAUAUGCGGGUUAGUUUUCUAUUUUCUUCAUAUUGUUUAGUUAUGCUGCUUAAUUCAGUAGAUUUUAAUGAUCUUUUAAUUCUUUGUUUUCAAUAGAGAACGAGUAUGCAGGCUGGAGCUGGCCCAUUGCUUGGGCAAUUGUCUUCUAUUUUUGAGCAGAUUGCUGCGCAAGAAGCAUCUGCAUCGCACGUCGCAGCGCCUAGAGAUCCACUAGCUGACGCGGGCGAGCAGAUGCUGUCUGAUCUGCAGUAUUUACUAAAUGACUUUUAUUGGCCAGAUGAUGAGUUUAAUUUUCCAGAACAGUAAUUUGUAGCCUAUUAGUAUGAACUUUAGUUGAAAAUUGUCUCAUAAAUUGCAACUUAUUAGUUGUUCUCUAGUUAGUAGUCAAGUAGCAUUCUGGACAUUGACGGCGUGAGAGCUUUUGACGCCAACUGACUAAUGAAUUUAACAAUGUUUUCAAAAUAUAAUCGAUGAUAUGUGGCCUGUGUUUGCUGGUUAGUGAAUUUCCAGGAACUUCUAGCAUGUAGCUGGAACUGUGUUUGCUUUCAAUUCAUUAGCUGUAUUUGGAUAUCUCCCCCUAUUGUGAUGAGUCAUUGCUGAGAGCAAAAAUUUCAUUACAAUUGCCAUGAUGUACUCUUCUUGCUAUUAUCUCGUUUACUUGAAAACUGAUCAAUAUGUGGCCUGCUGUAGUGGGUACUAUCAUCUCUCGUAUGCUGUUUAAGUAGUACUAUCUUCUCCAUCAUUGCAAAAUUGAAGAUUUGAUCUUAUUCAAGCGUUUCGCCAUAGUAGAAGUUUUAAAUUUUUGUGCUAGUUGAACAAUAUUCCAUUGAAUUUGGCAUGAUCAAAGGAAGUGGCCUUAAGCAGGCAUAGAUCCCCUAAUUUACAGACUAAAUUAAAGAAGAAUAUAGAAUUUUAAAAUUCAUAUUCAUUUAGUAUCGAAUAUAUCCGUUUCAUUCGGAUUCGAGUUCAGAUAAAAUUUCGGAUAUCCAUACCCAUUGACAUCCCUAAACUUUGGCCUCUAUCUCUAUUUUUGCUUUUAUCUCAUUCAUCAACUGCUGAGCAGUUAGUAAAUAAAUGUGCAGCAAGUAUAUAAGAGUGCACCUAGUAAAUAAAUGUGUAGCAGUUAAGGUUCUGUUUGGAUGCCGGAAUAAUUUAUCAAAAAUAAUUUAUUCCAUAUGAAAAUUUUGUAGUAUAAUUGUGAGUAAUUAGUUCAAUUUUUGAUCCUUCAAAGAUCAUGCUAUUCAUAAAUUGAUAAGAUAGUAUAUUUUACUUAUUAAGUAUAUUUUUUUAUUCGAUUCUAAACAUUUGAUCAUAUUUUUUAUCAAUUAAAUUAAAUAUACAUUGUUUUAAUAAAUUUUAAAUUUUCUUAUCUGUUGGGAGAAGUGCGGUAAUGCCCACAUUGUGAAUUGAAAUUUUAAAAUUUUGAUUUCUUGUUAAUCUCAUAUGGCAUGACUGCUUCAAGUCAUGACAACAUCUGUUUUCUUGUUAGUAUUUUGAAAUUCUACGUUCUUAGUAUUGAUUAACUGACUUCAGUUUAAACAAAAUUAAAAUGCUAUUAUAUAUUGACGUGUAUUGUCUGGAUAAUAAUUUAUUUAAAAUAAUAAACCCUCUUCUUUUUUUUUUUUCUUUUUAUCACGAUCCUAGUCUCCAUGCUAGUAGUCCCUACUGAAUUAUAAUAUUUAAUCUAAUGAUUAGAAAUGAUCAAAAGAAUCGAUCCAAAGACUAAAAACUUGUUAGCAAAAUGAGAGAAAUACUAUAAAUAGUAUUCUAGCCCAACUCUCUCUCUCUCUCUAUAUAUAUAUAUAUAGAGAGUUGAGCUGAAAUGCUAUCGGUAGCAAACUGGCUUCGUUGCCAUCCAUUUAUUUUCGAUGAUGGAGCCUUCAAAUCGACGAUGGGCACCGUUGAAAAUAAUCUAUUAAUAGUAUUAUUUUUUGAAUAUAUUAAAAUUUUAUAAUUUUUCAUAAAAUUCACCUAAAUUGAAAAGCUUAUAGAUGUCCUCUAGAUUUGAUGUUUUCUGUUGAUUUAUUUUUGUUUACUAAUUUUAUUAGGAAAGAUAAGUAUAUCCUGCAACAAAAUAUCAGCUCUUUUGCUUUUGUGAUUUUAUUGAUUUUUUUUUAUUAUUUUGAAUGCAUUUGGACAAAGAAGGUAUAUAGCUCUUAGAAAAAAAAAAUUAAAAAAAAAUGCGAGAAUUGUUGUUUAUUUUUAUUUUUUUAUUAUACAUUAAUAUUAUAUAAUUUGAUACUAGCGAAAAUACUUUCUUCUCAUUGUAUCCCAACCAAACGACAGAUAAUAACUAAUUUAAAAAUUAAAAAAUUGUUACUUUUUAAGUUUUUUUUUAAAUUUUUUUGCUACUAAAUAGAAAUUUCGCAUGUAAAAAUUGCAAACAAUCUACUGUUCCUUAUUGCACUAUUUCACGUAAAUAUUUUGUUUAACAAAAUAAGAAAAAGGGCAACAAUACCAAAUGAGAUCUAAGUAAUCUUAAUUUUAUAUUUCAGAUCAUGUCUAAGAGCCACAACAUUAAAAAUGGGGACAAUACUUUGCCCUAACCUGCUCUGCAUCUCCCAUGCCUAAUCAAAUAAUUUAGAGGAACAUUACUGAAUAUCCGAGUGGUUUACCUAGACAGAUAGAAGGUCGCUUUCAAUGAGUCAACUAAUUAAAUUGUAAGAUAGGAAAUAGAUGUAGAGUAGAGCUGCUGUGCUUUUAGAAGUACAGAAAUAUCUGUGCUUGUGACUUUUUAAUUGUCGGAUCGCCUCAAGAUCCGUGGAGCACUAUUAAUGAUGUGUCCCGUUAUAUCCACUUCAUUAGUGCUGCACGAAUCUUGAAGCAAUCUAACGGCUAAAAAGUCACAAGCAUAGAUGUUUCUGUGCUUCUAAAACCACGGAAGCUCGACUCAUAGAUGCAUUAAUGUAUGAGUUUAUAUGGAUGACACUAUGCAAAUAUCAACUGAUGGGAGGUUCAAUUUUGCCUGGAUUAUUAAAAACUAUCUACAUCAGAAAAUAAUGUAACAACCAGGUUCUAUUGGUUAACUACUUUAGUCAAAUUUAAAAAAAAAAAAAAAACUCCAAAAUGGGCAUGCAUGAAUACGUGCGAAUGCCGACAACUUUGUCCUUAAACAUAAUUCUUUAUUACUUAUUUCAGAAAGUGACAAGCAAUUAUUUAGAAGGAAAAGAGAUUCCAUUUUCAUUACUAACAUGUGAGACAACAAUAAUCAAAUUCAAUACAUUAGGUUUAAUAACACUAAAUGCUCUUCUACAAAUGCAAAUUUGUUGAACUGAACAGAGCUAACUAUUACUGUCCUCUUGGUUUGACAAAUGACUAGCUAUUCCUUGUAGAAGGAGAAGAUAAGCUGUUCUAAAUGCUAAGUGUCAUAAAGCUAACAACAAGAAUUUCUGUUAGUUGCAUGCAUGUUUGUCGUAGAAAUAUUUCAUAACUCCGUCGAAGUCCAAAUUUGUGUAGAAGGAUGUGACAUAAAUUGAUUAAUUGAUUACAUAAGACAAUCUUAUCGACAGAUUAAAGAUCCGACUCACAAGCUAGGUUAAGCAAUUUAUUUUCUAUAUCAACCGCUAUUAAACAUAAUUGCAAUUAGAUCAACUAACUAGUAAUAAGCAAAUCAUUUUUGAAAAUUUCAUGCCAUUUGGAAUUUGCACAAAUUCUCUUUGAUGGCUCGCAACCUCUAACAUCUCCAUUUGUUCAAUAAUACAAAAACACUGAAAAAGGAAUAGCCCACCACAAUAGCCGCAAGGAAAACACAUACUCGGCAGCCAGAAAGAAUCACAAUACAGUUAAAGUAACAAUAAUUCAAUCAAUUAUAUACAGAGAAUAUAUCUCGAGAACAACUUUAAGUACAACCAUAGCCGCAGACAUGUAAUAUGUUCUCAGAAAGUAGGAAUAAGAAUAAAUCUGGAGAACGACUUUACAUUUGAAUGAACCUUAGACGCAUAAACAAAGAGAACUUUGAAUAUAUACCAAGUCUCCCACUAGUUUAAGAUGCCAAACCUACGCAAUAGAGGUAAUGGGGGUGAAUUCAGCUAAUACCAAAGGUGAUCGAAUCUACUACAUCGUCUCCUGUCAGACAUCUGCCAGACAUCUCAUCUUUCCAAGCGAAUAAGAUAACUCUAAUUCCGGCUCUUUGAGGCUAUUGACCAUCAACUAUAAAGUGUUUGUCAAUAAUUUCAAUUUAUUGACCCAAAAGUGUAGACCAUCAUCAAAAUCCAAUCCUUAUGCACUAUAUGAAAAAGAAUAGAGACAUCGUCAUCACAUUGAGAGCACGCAUGCUGGUAUAAAAAACCACAUAACAAGGGUAAGUUGCACCACGAGCUCCUUUAUCUUUUCAAGGAUGUUUCACUUUGGUCCCGAACCUUGCAAUUCAUACAAUUGGACCACUAGCCUAUGCACAUGUUGCAAUUAAUCGUCACCAGUAUUUGUUAAAUCGGACGGAACUGCUCAUGUAAUCGAUGAAUGAAAAGGCUAAAUAUCUCUUAUAUAGCAGUAACAGAAGCUAACACUACGAAUUACCUAACAAAGUAUUCGUAAUAUGGUUUUCAUUCCAAACCCUAUGCUUGAUCUUGCAACUAAGUGCAUAAGAAUUAUGAUAUGAAUCAAUUCCUAUAUAUCCUAAAGGAAGAAGCAUAAACACAGAUAACAAUGAGAAUUGAUAAGUUUAGAACCAGGGAGGCAUGAAAAUUCCAGGAAAAUUACAUGAAACUUCAUCAUAUAGAUAUAACAAAGCAUUGGAUUUAUCCAUUAUCGGAAAUUGAAACUGCGAGGGGCAGAGUGGAGCAUUAUUACUGUACAAGCAUAAGCCGGCCGAUGCCGCCGUUGAGACGGCCCCCGGGCGACAAAACCCCGCCUCCUUCUUCCUCGUCGGAGGCCGCCCCCUUCGGGACGGUGACGAUGAGCUCGCCGUCGACGUAGGCGGCGGUGGCGAGCGAGGGGCGGGUGUAAGGCGGGAGCCGGAAUCGCCAGCGAUUGAGCUCGAGGGCGCCGUCGUCGACCUCACCGGAAUCGGCGGCGGCGGCGGCGGCGGCGGGGCGGAUCACGACCUUCAUGACGCCGGGGUGGAUCUCGACGGGGAGGGCGCGGACGUCGUCCCAGAGGUCGUCGGCGGCGGCGACGAAGCGGAACCCGUCGGAGUCCUCCUCGACGGAGACCUCGGCGUCGGCGCCGAAGGGGAGCUCCAGCACCUUGCUGAAGAUGUGCGGGAGGCGCCGGAGCUUCUUCUGCCGCCCCCCGCCUCCGCCGACUCCGGCGGCGGCGGCGGCGAGGAUGGCGUUGGCGUCGUAGCGGAUGGUGAUGUUCCGCUUCUUGGGCGCCGGGUGCACCCUCAUGGCUCCCAUCCUUCCACAACAACAACCGAAACCCUAAACCUAGCCCUAAUCCAAACCCUAACCCUAGCUUCCGAUGACACAAAUCGGUGGCGAAAUCCCCAAAAUCCUACACGAAACAGCUCGAAUUUGAUCGAGAAAACCGAAAACUCGACUCGCAAAGAGCAAUUGAAAUCGAAAUCCUAGCAAUAUCGAGCUUCGAUUGGAAACCUUGGGGCAAAAAACAGAGGAUUUUCACAUGGAGAGAGGGAGGAAAUUGGGGACGAAGAGAUCUCUCCACGAUCUACCACUAUAUAAAUAUUUUGUUCGGAGGAGACGAGCUCAGCAGGGGUAUUUUGGGAAACAAGAAAAUUGGGACGAAGAGGACAGGGGCAUUUUGGGAAUAAAAAUAAUUACACAGGGAAAUGGUGACGUAUUAUAGAGGGUAAAAGUACAUUAGUCCCGGGACUAUCGCAAUAUUGCAAUUUAGUCUCUAUCCUUUUUGCCGACCACUACUUUUAGGUGUAUCUAAACUUUUUUUUUUAUAUAUUUUAUACAAUAUUUUUAAUUAUUAAAAUGGUUUUAAAUUUUUUAUUUUGUCAAAGAAAAUUCUGGCUUUUCAUUUUAGAAUAUAUCUACUCUGCUGUAGGAUAUAAUAAUACCGGUACUAUCUAAAAAGUUCUAUUAAGAAAAAACAUACUAUAUUAAAAUUUUUAAAUAACUUUUUUCAAAUAGAUCGAAAUAAAUAUUAUGUUACAAAAUAUAAUUAUACUAAGGGACAGUUUGGUUGAAUAUAAUUAUAAAUAUAGUGUAGUUAAAAAUACAUGCAGUUGAAAAUAUAAUAAUUAUAAUUACAUAUAAUUUGUUCGGUUGAAAAAAACUAAAAUGAAUAAUUUAUCGGCCAAUUUGCAUAAAAAUUCACUUAUUUUGGACUUUUGCAAAACUGGACCACCUUUUUCGUUUUUGCAGAUUCGGUCCGCUUUUUCAGCAAACUGACCAAAAUACCCUUAUUACUUUUUCUCUUUCCUCUUUCUCUCUCCUCUUCGUUUCUAUCGUUCUUUUUUUUUUCUCGCCGAAAAAAAAGAGGCGGAUCGAACCGUCGCCUCCCUCCUCACCCUCCUUCUUCACCGUUGCCUCCCUCCUCACCCUCCUCUCCACCGCCCACGACCCCUCCUCCUCUCCCGCCGGCUGCCGGCCGAGUCCACCCCCGACCGUCGUCUCCGUCGCCGUCGCAGAGCCACGGCAUGGGCGGGCGCAGCCCUAUGGCGUGCGUCGACCGUGUCCCGAUCGCUGAGCCUCAUCCGGCCACCAGCGGUCGUCGUCCGCUUGUCAGGCGGCGCGGCGGAGGAAGAGGCUGCGGAGUCGUCGCGGCGCUGGGCUGAGCGACCCGGAUUCGGCGCCCGGCCGACGCCUGUUGACGGCAGCGUCGGCUGCUGCACUCAGCCUAUUGGCGCAAGGCCGGCCGGGACCUCGUUCAGCUGCUGUGGAGUUCGGCGCAAACGUCGAGCCCCGGUGCCGACUGACGGCUUGAGGCGUUCGGCGGACGACGGGCGGAGGCGCUCGAUCGCGCGGUGACUCCUGGCGCGGGGUGCGCAGCGUUGCGGGCCGUGCGGCGGCAGAGCGGUGCACGCAGCGGCAGCGGGCUGGCACGCAGGCGCUGUGGGUGCUUUUUCUUCUUCUGCAUAGUGUAAAUGGUGCACAAUUACACCAUUAAUGUGUGUAAUUUCAUGCGUGUAAUGGUUAAUGGCUGCACCAUUGACAUUAGUGUAUGGUGCACCAUUGACAUUAACCAUUAAUGGUUAAUGGUGCCACCGAUUACACAUUAAUGGUAAAUGGUGUACAAUGAUGCCACCAUUAGUGUAAUUGGUGCCACCAUUUGCACAAUAUACACCAUUAAUGGGGCGGUGGGCUUGGCGCGGAUAACGGAAGACGACGGUGACGACGACGGAUGACGAUCGUGGGACCGGGACGAGGCUCAGCAAGGGGGAGUGACGAGGGCGAUUGGCAGGGGACGGGCGGUCGCAAGGGGCGGGACGUGGCUCGGCGACCGGCGACGGCGCGGACGACGGUUGGGGUGGGGCUCGGUGGCUGGCGGGGGGAGAGGAGAAAGGGCUCAGCGGGAGUCUUGCGUUGAGAGCGUAGACGAUCGGGGACUCAUGCGACUUCGAGCUUGACGAGGGCUUACUGGCCCCUUGCAACUCGGUGACGAGCGGGCGGUUCGGCUUGUGGAGGCGUGAGGGAGGAGGACGCGGAGCUUCGCGGCGGGCUUGAGGAGGGCGAACGGGGAAGUGAGGAGGGCUUGAGGAGGAGAGUAAAGAGCGAGGCGAGACGACGGUGGAGGGUGGGCUCGUGGCGCGGCGGGGGGAGAGGGAGGAGGGGUUCGGUAUGCGGAGGCGGAGGAGGGGCUCGGGCGGGCGGGCUCCGAAAAAAAACGAAAAAAAAAAAAGAACGAAAGAAACGAAGAGGAGAGAGAAAGAGGAAAGAGAAAAAGUAAUAAGGGUAUUUUGGUCAGUUUACUGAAAAAACGGACCGAAUCUGCAAAAACGAAAAAAGUGAUCCGAUUUUGCAAAAGCCCAAAAUAAGUGAAUUUUUUAUGCAAAAAGGCCAUAAUCAGUAAGAAGCAAUAAGUUGGUUAUUUUUAAAAAAAAAAAUAUAAUCUUUUAACAUACUAUAUUAAAUGUAAAAAAAAAAAAAUCAAGGACUAAUUGUAAAAGUACAUGAACAAAGUAGUAAUAUCACGAAAGAAUAGGGGCUAUUUAUACAUUUUAAUUUCUCCAUUAUUAUAGAGGAGUUAUAGAGGAAGUGACGGUUUAUUUUUCAUUUUUCAUUUUUUUUUUAAUUUUUUUGGGCAUUAUCACAAACGCCACGAGAAAUUAUUGCGUGCUUUGAUACGUGCUUUUGACCGUAACCGUUGAAUCGGGAUCCAAUGACGACUCCGAGUAGCCCCGACGUAGGCCGUACGAUCUCGAUCGAACGGCGGAGAUCGACGCACGACAUCGUUGGUAGUGGUGUCUCACAUGGGGAUUUCGUGGACAACGCGCCGAGUAUCGUAUAACUCGGACGAUACGCUUGCGGUGACAAUUUACGGAAGCCCCCUCACAUAUAUACUAUUUUGAAAUUUACUCCGUAAACAUUGUUGUUGAUUUUCUUUUUUUUUUAAGUAGUUCUAAUUUCUUUAAUUUGAGCAAUGUAUUUUAGUUAGAUUUAAAAAAUAUUAAAUUUUAUACCCUUGGUAGAAAAAAUUAAUACUAAUGAAGCUUAUGUCAAUGAAUUUAAUAAAACUCUUUAAUUAAAAAAAAUCGGAAUGUAAAAAAAAAAAAAAAUUAAAAUAAGAAAAGCUCAUGGAUCGCUUUCAGUGUCUCCUAUAUUGGAGGGGUUUCCCUACAAUUUUACCCAAGGUUACCCACGGUGACUCCAUGAGGAUGUUAAUAAGUGUAACGGUUAUAUAUCACGGUUGUGAGAAUGACACGCGGACCCCACCGAGGGGUGGGCCCCACAUGUGAUCCUCGUUGGGAUGGAGACCAUGUAAUCGUUGAUUGGCUCAAUUGAUUGAACCAUGUUGGGCCCCACUACACGUUUGAUAACCACUGAUGUGGUCUCUUUUUUUGUGUUUAUCUUUAUUAUUAAUAAUUCUAAUUAUUACUUUUUGUUUAGUGUAUGGUGGAAAAAUUGCCACAACGUACGGAACGAUUACGAAGGCUCAGAUGCUGCAACUAUUUUCAGAUAAUUUAUCUCGAAAAAUAGAAUAAACGGCUUUUUUUUUACAUUUAACUCCUUCAAAAAAAAAAAUUUGCAAAUAAUUCCAUAAAAUUUAUAUUUACAAGAUUGGUCAUAUUCCCACCUCGCAAACGUCACGUGAACGCCACAUGAGCAUGGCAGUAGAUUAAUUUGAACAUGUGAAUCAUUUAUCGUGUUUAGAAACGAUGAAUAAUUCACAAGGAGUGUUUGGUUCGCCUAUUUUUCAUCCUGGAAUAAAAAUUGCAAUCGACGAAUCCGUUUGUCCAUAUUUGGUACGUGGAAUUCUCAUUCUGAUUUCGAUUUCCGGGCGAAUGAAAAUCCCCCAAUUAUCCUUUUUUCCAAUCCAGUCUUGUAAGCCGAAUUGGAAAUUGAAUUCUGGUGGAAUGAAUUUGUUCGGAUUACAUUUAAUUUUUUUAACCUUAUUUUUAAUUAAAUCAUAAGUUUAAGUAUAAAAAUUAUAUUUAUAAAUUUAAAUUUAAAUUUAAAUUUAAAUUAAAAAUUAAAAUUCAAUCAAGUAUUUCGAAUCUAAUUUAUAAAUUUGAAUUUGGAUUUAAAAUCUAAAUUUUUAUUCAAAUUUUAUUUCAAAUUUAAAUUAAAUUUAUGGUUUCAAAUUGAAAUUUAAAUUAUAAUUUUAAGUUUGAAUUUGAAUAAAUCGAAAUUUAGUUUUAUAUUUUGAAUUAUCCAUUCAAUUUCAAAUUUUAAUUUUUUAAAAAAUUAUAUUUAAAAUGUUUACAUUAUUUUAAAAUUUUGACCUAUAUUUUUAAUAUUUAAUUUUCAAUUUGAAUUUAAACUAAUAUAUUAUAAAGAUAAAAUUGACAUAUUAAUUUGAUUACGUUUUCAAUAUCUAUCUGAACCGAACACCGACAAUAGAAAUGGUUCAUUCCGAUUUCGAUUCAGAUAGCGAACCAAACAACUGAGGUAAUAAAUUAUUCUGAUUCCGUUUCCAGUUUAUUAUCAUUCUAAUUUCGAUACCAAUUCUAACUUCGAAUCAAACGCACCCACAAUGUUCUUUCUAAAUCUUAAAUCUCAAAUAUUAUGUAAUACCUUAGUAAGAAAAUAAUGGAAUACGGUGAACCGUAUUCAACUUAACCCAUGUCGCCAUCUAUGCUUGCGUGGCGAGAAUACGGUCAAUCUUGUAAAUAUAAAUUUGUGGGACUAUUUAUAGAUUUUUUUUUUUUUUCUCCUGAGAGGACUAAAUACAAAAAAGCUCAAAAAAAAGGUAAAAAUAUGAAGACCGCCUCAACUGGGCCGUUCGGAAAUAGUCUCUUGGACAUUUUUUUUUUUUUUUUUAGGAUUGACACCCUAAACUUUUGCAUUAGAAAGUUUAAGUGAUUUUAACCAAAAAAAGAUUAAAAAAUUUAUCAAACAUUUUAGUAACUUUUCCAAAUAUAAUAAUUUUAAUCCACUUUAUAGCAAAUAAGCUAGAUUGAUUAAUUGAUAAUGGUUAAUCAACCUGCCCUAGUUUGAUCCAAAACUUAUGCAGAAGAAUCUGAAGCCUCAACCCUCGCAAUGGUAGAAGAAAUCAGACGAGCUGUCUGCAAUACCUCCAGAGUUAAGAGGUUUUGCAGACUGUAGUGCAGUGCAUUUUUCAUUCUAGAGAAUUUGCAGACAGCGGUGGCACUACAUUUCGGUUUCAGAAUUCUGCCAAACAGGCAAGCUUCAUAGAUGCUCUCUCUUCCUAAUUAAAAAUCAUAAAAGAUCAAAAUGGAUUUAUUUAGACAUAUUGAAGUAAAAUUAUGCCACCAUCUUAGGUUUCUUCUGCUAUGUUUACAACGAGUCCGGCUACUAUACUCUUAUUAGUAUAGAUUUUUUUGUACUCAUAAAUUUUCGGCCGUUAAAUCUACUUAUUUGAUCAUUUUUAUUCGUUAGAUUUUAUUAUUCAUCGAACCACCCACUCAACCCUAGAGGAUCAUUAUCAUUUUAACCGGGGACCACUAUUAUCCUGACCGCACAUCUCUUCAUCCAAAGACCAAAAAUUUAUGAAUACAAAAAGCUCUAUACUCAUAAAAGUAUAAUAACCUAGCCUGUUUACAACAUUUAUGCUUACAACUCUUUCAAAAGAAACAUUACCAUAAAAUAAGCCCCAAACACCCCAAAAAAGAGAACACGAAAUAGAUCCCGAAGAUGAGAAUCAUGCUUCAUAUUAUGUAUCAAUCCACUACAAGUAAAAAAACAAAAUCAACCUCAUAAAUACAUUAGCAAUUUCGAUUAAUUGGUAACCCACAUCAUUUGCAAUAUACUAUCAAGAAUGUACAACAAGGUUUACGCACUUCAAGGGCACUUGGCGUGGCGUAGUUGCAAAAGGGGCGUGAAUUUAGUUAGAUGACAGACAGUACAGUCAUUAGUUCAGUUGUCGACCACGAGAUAUAGAGGAGAUCAGCCAUCUAGUCGUCCGCUUAAUUCUUGAAUAACAGCUUCCUUUUGGAAAGGCCUGGCAUUGUCUUUCAUGGAAGGAUCCAAAACAUAGCCCACCAUUCGGAGGCAGAUUUUCUCCGUAUUAUCCUAGUCGACAUCAGAACUAGCGCUUUUAUUCCCACUAAACUUGAUUUAUGGGUGGAUUGCGAUCCGAAACCCCUCAGCAGUGGCAUGAGCUUGUUUUCCAGAGGAGCAGUAGAUUGAAUUGCAGUCUUUGCUUGAAACUGGCUGCAGAACUUAGCUACGACUCGUGAAGCCAACUUCAGGUGAGGUGAAAUUCAAAAUUGCUGCGAAUGUACUAAGGAAGAUAAGAGAUGAGAGAACAGUCAAUUCAAUUUCGUCUGUUCGAUAUUCACAUUCUUGUCCUCGGGACUUUCUGCGGGAAGUAGACCAAGAAGGGGAAGCGGUAGCAAGGAGCUGAGAUUGCAAAUGACAAUUAAUAGAGCUAGAUUGCCGAAACUGUCUUUGGUGACCCCCAGAAGUUGAGUCAGCCCUGCGCCGAUAAGACCUCCAGUGACACUUCCCGCAUUCGAAAUAGACAUCAGAGUGGCAAAUAAAGUCGCCUCCAUCCCGGAGGGGCAUAAUCUUGCCGCUAAUACCAGGACGGGCAUAAAAGAAGCCUGCAAAAUAAUGCAUACUUUUGUUUGAUUAACAAGAAAUGUGAAAUAUAAGCAGAAAAUAGAAAAAGGAAAAACAAUGUACAAGUGCAUGUGGCAGAGAAGUUCUAUCACCACAUAGUAUACAUCGGAAGCUAGAGAUUCUAGAGGCAUAUUCGAUUGCUUGACGUUUCGUAUUUUCUAACUUUUCAAUCACGUUGAUUUUGUUUAGCAGGCAGUAUAAUUAAUCCACUUUGUUUUUGAAAGUUUGGUAUUAGCACCUGACUGAGCACUGUUAUUCUUUACUUACUGUUUGAUAUUGUAUAGAAACUGAUUAAUUACUACAUAUCUAUGGAGAAGCAAUUUGGAAACUGUAUUUAGUGAAAUGUUGACUUUAAUCAAAUACACUGCAGCAUCUUGAGAAUUCUCCACAUCCACAUUUUGGUAAUAUAUCACAUUUACAUUAGACUCCACUAAAUGAAAAUUUGGUUCUUUUACAGCUUUGUGAUUCUUGUGGUGCAAUAUUGGGAAAAAAACCUUGAAUGUAACUCAGGUGCGAAAAUACCACUUCUCUUGUUUCUCAUUUCUUAAAUGACUUAAAACAGCAAAUACUUAAAGUUACUAAAGUCAUAGUUACUGGCAAGCUAGAAACAGAAAUCAACACCAUGCAAAAUUCCGCAAUUCAACUAAUGUAUUAGCACCUGACUGAGCACUGUUAUAAUCAAAGAGUCCCCAAUUGAGAACCAUUCAUCACUUAUGCCGAACUGUCGAUUAAGUCCAGUGACAAGAAAAACCUGAAAAAGUACACCAAACUUAUCAUAGAACUGAAAUAUAACAAAACCAUUUUUUUGACAGCAGAGAAUACACAACCAGUACCUGCGUCAUUCCAAGAGUCGAGCCUAUAAUUGUUGUGAGAAGAAAAAUUUUCCUCAAAGGAACUGCCUUAAGAAAUGAAUUGUACAGUCCAACACCAAGCAAGGAUGCCACCGAUGUAACUAGUUUGACUCGCCCUAAAAAUUCUGGAGUAAAUCCAAGCUUAUUUGUGCUGAAACCCAACAAUAGAGAGACACGUAAGUUUUUAUGUAGUACCUCAUUUUGAGGCAAAAAUAAUAGACCGAGUUGCAAGUAAUAUAUGCACAAAAAAAGAAAAAACGGAGGCCAGUUAGAGUUCUUAGUUAAUACAUAAUUAUAAAACUUUAUGCCCAAAGACGUGUAGGUUGCACUCAGACAUGUGAAUAAUGCUUGGCACAAGCACAUAUGACAACCUAACAUCCACGCUUUCAGUCCUAACUAUUUGGGAGUAGUUGUAGAAAAUCUAAUUUUUCGCUCAUCUCUUGUUUUCCACAAGCUUCUCAAUCAAAACAGGCACUGUUACUUCUUUUGUCACAAGUUCCCGUAACAUCAAUUUUGGACUCCCAUCUCAAGGCACUCUAAUACUUCAGAAAAUAUGAUCCGAAGUAAUGUUCUAUGCGGUCGAUUGAACACAGCGCAACCAUUUAUACUGGUUUCCAUGCCCACUGCAGCCCGUUCCCAACCACUGUAUAUAUGUCUACGCGCACAUGCAUGCGUAUGUGUACAUGUGUGCGGGUGAAACACUAACAUUAUGCAGGCAUACCAACUGGUCCUUCACUUGACUGUAGUUGAACAUCAUGUCGCAUGCUGAGAAAAUGUCAUUGAAAUUAUCAACAUAAUGCAGAAAAAUGAGUCUUGUCCAUCCAGUGUGCGCUUCCUGAUAAUUCUUCACUAUUUGAUUUUUUUUUUUCUCCAACUAUGUGGAUGGUUUGAAAAAAUCCACAUAAAAAUUAAACAGAAUUAAAGCGCACUCAGAGCAAUACAGGGGGGAUAAAAUGACAAGAUAAAUAAUAUUAAAGUUAAUAUCCAACAUGAAUAAGAGCAAGAGGGAUGGUUGUGAUCGUACGUAAAGAAGAACAUGGCGGAGUCCGACUGAGGAGUUGCCUGCCACAAGAACAUGAACAAGGUGGGUAAGAAGAUGUCGCGCUGCCUCACUGCAGCCCACAACUGAGUAAUGUGCUGUUUAGAGCUCUCAAUAAAACCUGAACCAGAAAUUAAGGGAGUGUAUCCUGAAGAAGGAACAGGCUGUUCAUUUACAAGAACAGCCACUGCUGAUGUCAUCAGGGGCAGAAACGCCGUAACACCAAAGACAAAUCUGCUUUAAUACAAAUACGUUAAUUAUCAAAUAAUGUUGUACAUAAGUUAGAAAAUUUAUUUCAUUAAUGCGAACCUAUGGAACAAACCUUACACCGUAUGUAUCCACCAAUGAACCACUAAAAUAUGCGCUCACAAUCCCUCCAAAGGCUGACGAUCCCCAACACAGAGACUGGAGAGAUCCCGAUGUACUCUGUGACUCACCGCGUGCCCUUUCAACAACCAUAGAAUCUACCACCUAUAAUAUCAAGUAACAUGUGAAAGAAGAUUAUACAUUUGGCACUUAAUGCUAUAAGGACCAGAGAUUUAUCACCGCAUAAACUUGGUUGACUAUUUAAGUAACUUACAAUGUCAAAGGUAUGAACAGAAAAAAGGAAACAACACUAUAACAUAAUAGAUAGCAAAUAAUGCAGCACAAGCGGAAUACUAGUGAAUUGCGUAUUUAUUAUAUGUUGACAAUUAAAUAUGCUUCAUUAUUGAGAAUAAACUAUGAAAAAUAUAUGAAAUUUAAAAAGAAAACAAUGCCAGAUAUUUCAAUGAAAGGGCAACGAAUUAGACAGAACCGAUGGCACAUAACAGCAAUUUGAUGUAUUAAAACUCACUUACAACAUCUGAAAAGGCAACUGAAAGAGAUCCAAGAAAGAUACAAAAUGCUGCAUCAUACUUGCUGUCCACAAAUGCGGCCAUCAAACUCCACGAAAGUGCUCCAAGAAGUCCAGAGAGAAUUAGAUAAGACCUUCUCCGAUAGCCAUAAAGUGGGAUGGAGUCACUGAAAUUAUAUUUAAAAAGAAAAAGAAAGAGAAUCAAAUGAAGGGAAUAAAGCAGAAAUUGGAAGGAAUUACCAAAACAAAAAGACUUGGUCAAACCUGAUAAAACCGUAUAGAGGCUUAACUAACCACGGCAAGGAGGAGACACCAGAUAUAACUGCAGUCUAAAUUAGAGAAGCAACACAGAAACGUGUGAAUAAUAUUCAAAGUCUACAAACAUUAUCACAACCCUUUCAUAGCCAAACAAAACGGAAAAUAAUAAAAAAGUAGAUCCAGUAUGUCAACAUUCAAAUUUAAUUUUUAAAAAAAGCUGCAAUGAAACAAGUGACCAAGAAUUCGUAUUAACAUACCUCUGCUGGAUCGAGAUGAAGAUCAUCUUUCAAGUAAAAGCUCACAGCAAGCCUGGCAAGGCCCAACACUCCUUGAACAAAGUAUACAAUAGCAACGGCAAAGUUAUCAGGUGACAAGUCAACCCCAAAACAUUUUAUAGGACUCAUUUUAGACCUGCUCUUCCGCGAGCCAUCUGUACUACUGUCUCCUUUAGCUGUAAAUGAUGGGUUCCUUGAUCUACCUGCAACUAACAACUUAUCAAUACUGUUUUUUCUUAUCGACAUUACAUAGUAUUCACGCCACUAAAAUUUUUAUAAGCUUCAAGCAAGAUUAGUUCACUUUAGGAAUCCUAAUUGCAAAGAAGUUAGUAAGAAGCCUAAGUAACCAUCAACAACUAAAAUUUGAGAAAAGUAGGAAGGCAAUACUAAGUGCUCGACAAUGAUGAUUAUUUUCUUUAACCAAACUUUAUCUAGUUAACUAGUUUUACUAAAAAUAUGAAACAAAUCGACCAAACUCAGGACACAAUAUAUGAAAGAAGUGUGUAAAUCAUCAUGCCAAAAAGCAUCUACCAGAAACAAGCAAACAAGAUUCGUCAGCUAAAUUGUGAAAACUAACUUAAGAUGUUUGAAAACUAUGCCAAGCUAUCUGAGUUAAAGUAUCAAUGUUUUUCAAGACGCUUGAUAAGCCAUCUGACAAUGAUAAAUAGAGAUCAAAGUUCUAGUAUAAUCUCCCUUACGAAAAAAGAACAGCAAUUGCAAAUCGCAACAUAAUUUUUCACCGUAGUAAAAGGUCAUCAAAAAACGAAAAUAUAUACAAUUUUAGGGAGGUUAUUUCUUCGAGACAAACAGCGUAAACUAACAUCCAUUGACCUUGAUUGAUUGGUCUUCACAUAUGAGCUUAGCUGCCAAAUAUCCUAGACAAAAACUGGCAAAAUACUCACACUCAGAUUUAGUAAAGCAAUUUCUCUGUGCAGGAGUAAACUUUCAUACAUAAGUAUUUCGACAAUCCGCACUCAAAAUCCUCCCCCUUGUGCACCUCAAACACUAUCCCAAUUCCAAAUGCAUGUUCAAUGAAUUCGACUCAUAUCUUUCUAAUCUAAGCCAUAAAGAUGAACACUGCAACAUAUUAAAUAAUAAAACACCAUUCUUCAGCACUUAAAGCCGCUAGAUAAAACGAUUAUUUCACAUGUUAUUAGAGCAGGAGAUACUGAGAUUGAAUCCCACCAAACUCCAAUUUUUAUUUAAUUUUCUCCCACUUAAUUCAAGUCCAAUUCUUGGACAAAUAAAAAAUUCUAGAGCUCUAACAUAAAAGUGAGCAUUAAAUAUAAAAUUUUAAAGCAUCAUCCUCUAGAAACUAAAGGUUUCUCCAGUAGUUGUUUCAUAAUUUCAUUAUAGAUUGAUAUCAACGCCGCGUAAUAAACACGCAAGAAUUCAAGAACUCGCCUUUUAAUCGCUUAAUCAAAGCCACGCAGACAGAGAGAGAGAGAGUUCUCGAACUCACCGCCUCGAUAAUCGGAGUAGGACAUCUGGAUCUCGCCGAGAUCCAGGGGCCGCAACGCCGCCUCCUCGUCGUAGCCGUCGCCGGCGCCGCCGUUCCCCUUCCGGCGGGGCGGAGGCGGCGUCGCGGGGCGGGAGGAGGCUGCGGCGGCGGCGGCGGAGGACGCCAUGCCCUCGCCUUCGGGGGUGCGGCGGCAGCGACACUCGAUCCGGCGAGUCCUGGACGCCGCGGCGGCGAUGCGGCGGCGCCGGCGACGAUAAGCGGCGGCGGCGGCGGAGGAGGAGGAGGAGGAGAGCGAGCGCCGUGGUGGGGGAGCGGAGGAGGGGAGGAGGAGAGGGGCGGGGGAGGAGACGCGGAGGAGGAGAGGGUUCACGGGAUUUUUUAAUAAUAAUAAAGAAAAUAACGCCAUUACGAAUUUUAGUCACGGAGCGUACGUUUCCCCCACACACACACACGCACACUACUACACAGUUCGUACCCGAGAAUGCGAAUGUACAUUUUGUAGUGAUUUUUAUUUUCCUAAAAAAAUAUUUACAUAAUUUUUGGAGAAAUUAUUUUUGUUCACAUUCUACAUUUGAUUUUUUUUUUUUUGGCUCAAUUUUUAGAAGAUCUUUUAUAGAUUGGCCCCGUUUGAAAUUCUCAUACAUUAAAAGCAUUUUGUUUGUAUUUGCCUGUGUUAAUAUUUUUAUGGCUCCAUUGAAAAAUCAAGAAAUAUGAAACAAAAUAUUGUACCCCAAAAUGUCUUAACCACACUAUGCAUAAGCAAAUGAGUUCCAAAAUUUAAACAAAAAGGAUUUAACAUUGUAAUUGGGCCACAAAAUAUAUAAGCCACGCUAGAGCUAUUUUGAGAAAUUAAUCGAGACCCAACUUAGCCCAUCAUGGCCCAAAUGAGUUCAAGCUCGGUUCAGGACGGGUCCAACUGGGCCAGGCUCCAACACGAAAAGACGCUAAAUUUAACUUCCAUUUCAAGUCAAGUUGUUAACUGUCACUCGUAGCAUCACCACUGUUUAGAUCAAUUGUUUCAUAUUUAAAUAUGCAAGAAUCUAUGGGCAUCUUCAAAAUACCAAAAAAAAAAAAAAGCGUUUACAAAUAUGUAUGUGCAUCCGUAGUUAAUACGCAGAGAAGCGUGAAUCAUAAAUCUCUGAUGAGGCUUAUUUCUAAAACUAUCAGGAAAAAAAUUGAUGCUAAAUCAUCAAUUGCAUAUAGAAGUAAUACACGAACUGCUAUAUAUGAAACAGUAGUAGUAGCAUCAACCUCAUUUUGCCAGGUUUACUGAUCACUAGGUUUUGAUUUGUCGAAUACUUGAUUCUUGCCUCUUGCCGUAGAGAAGCGGUUUCAAAAGUCAGGUCUAAUAAAUAUUGUUAACUUGUUCCGUGGGCUCUUCCUUACAAUACUAAAGCAUAGUUAUGAAAAUUCAUGGAGUUUAUAUUCUGCGAUUUUAGUUUGAUAUUUAUUAUAUAAAUCCAUAUCUUUUAUCUAUUCUGUUGCCAUUCAUGUAUGUCAGUGCAUAUGAUGUUGAUCUUUCAUCUGUUAUGUGUAUACUGAAAACAAAGAACUAAAGAAGAAAGAGGAAGAUCAAGAAACUGCAGUGGAUUCUUUGAAGCUAGAGAAAGUGACAAAAUCUUCUUUUUUUUUAUUUCCCCUCUUUAUUAAUUGCACAUAUCCUCUUCAUGCAUAGGUAUAUUGCUCUUUGUUUUGCUUCUAUUUCCUUAAAUGGAGUGGUAGAAGGAUUCACAUUCCCCCCACCAAAGAUAACAAAAUAAAACCCCUAGAUGUGGGCACCAAGACCUUGGAUUGAAAAGGAAAUGAAACCUCUUUUAAUUUUAAUUUUUCUUUUUCUUUUUUGCUUUUGGAGUCUUAUCUUAACUAUCAUUGCUUUUUUUUUCCAGUAAUUUAUUAUCCAGGUGGUGGUGUCAUCUUUCACCACCUGAGAGGUUUAUUCUCUUCUUGUUUUGCUCACUAUUGGCUGCAGCUACAGUUGUUGCACUAAUUUUGUGUGCAACUUUGUUGAUUUGCUAUCCAUUUAUGUUCCCCUUGAGUGCACCCUUUCAUAAAGAAAUUAAUUGUCAAAGUAUAGUCCAAAGGUGUUCCUAUAUAUAUAUAUAUAUNAUAAUCUAACGGGUAAAAAUAAUCAAAGGGUUAAUUCUAACGGUGGAAAACUCGAUAGCACCAAGUCCUUGGUGAUAUCCAUAGUGUCCCAGUCGGACUCUACAUAUAGCACCAAGUCCUUGGUGCUAUCGAUAGUGUCCCAGUCGGACUCUACAUACUAUAUGUAGAGUCCGACUGGGACAUUAUCGAUAGCACCAAGGACUUGGUGCUAUCGAGUUUUUCACCGUUAGAAUUAACCCUUUGAUUAUUUUUACCCGUUAGAUUAUACUAUUCAACCAACCACCCACUCAACCCUAGGGGGCCCAAAUCAUCCUCACCGCACAUCCCUUAAUUCAAGGGCUAAAAAUUUACAAGCACCAAUAACUUGGUGCUUUUAAAAGCAUAGGAGCUCAAUUCUAUAUAUAUAUAUAUAUAUAUAUAUAUGAGUCCGGCUAUGGUGCUUGUAAAAGUACCAAGCACUUGGUGCUUGUAAAUUUUUUACCGUUAGAUCUAUGCCUUUGAUAAUUUUCACCCGUUAGAUUAUACUAUUCAACCAACCACCCACUCAACCCUAGGGGGCCCACAUCAUUCCAACCGCACAUUUCUUAAUCUAAUGGCCGAAAACAUACAAGCACCAAUGACUUGGUACUUUUAAAAGUAUAGAAGCUCAAUUCNCUAUAGAUAGUAUAGUAGCCUAAUUCUAUAUAUAUAUAUAUAUAUAUUCUAAAACUAAUCAACUUUGUGCAUGUGUAUAGUUCAUAGUUUAAUCUAACAAUUAAGUUACUCCAAAACUAAUCAUUAAUGAAAUUUAAGUCCAUCAGCAAAAAACAUUGUUUUGGUAGAGAUAUUUACAUCUAAAACUUAUUUUUUUCUCAAAAGAAACAGAAUUAGCUUUGAUUUUUAUGUGCAGAUUCAUUAAAUUCGAUCAUUAUUUGCUAAACUAAAUUUAAACAGGAUCAAUAGAUUUGAUUUUAUUCCUCCUAUAAGAGAAAUAAAAUCAAGAAAAUGCUGAUUGGCAGGACUAAAAAUCAUUACAAAAGUUGAUGUGAUAUUUGGAAAACAUUCCCCAAUAAUCACUAAGAUGACAAAAUGUUGUUUAAUUUUCUCCAUUUCUUCUCUUCCACUAUGUUAUAAUAUGACAAAAUGUUGUUUAAUUUUCUCCAUUUCUUCUCUUCCAUUAUGUUAUUCCAUCGUGCAUUUCUUCUGUAGAAUGCAGCGGAAGUAUUCAUUCGUACCUUUUUGCGGAAGCGAUUCGCGUUACGACUCGAUGAGCCCGGAUCGUCGAGGUUGAUUCACGUGUCCUUUGAUCGUCCUUGAUUAAAUCUUCUCACGUUCCAAACUCGCGAUGGAUCGAACUACAAACGAGCACGAUCAGAAAUCCACCGUUCAAGUCCCUCUUAGAAUAAUAGGUUGAUGGAGGAUGUGGUUUCUUUCUUUCGUUUUCUUGUUCUCUUUUCUUUUUCCGUUCUUGUUCCUUUUUAUUAUGUGGGAUCGCCUGCAUAUUUAUAAGGGAUUCCAAAAUCCUAAUAGCGUUAGAGAUAAGGGCAAAUCGGUUAUUAAUUGUUAUCCUAAUAUGACUAGAAUUUAUCUCUAACUAACUUUCCAAUUUGAAAGCGAGAUUAAUUCCAAUCCAAUUAGAUAACAUAACAUCCGUCAGAUCGAACCCGCUUAUGGGCGUACCCGAUUCGAUUUAACCGAAUGCCAACAUCUACUGUAAUGCUUGCUUUUCACUGUUAAAGCAAACAUUAACUUAUUCUACAUUAUAAGGCCAGCACAUGAGUAAGAAUUGUGAUGAUUUUUGUCACUUUUGAGCAAUUUUGUAUGAGAGAUUUGUUUGGGACAGUGAAUUUUGCACAAAUCUAUAAACUUGUACUUCGGAUUUUUUUCUUUUGCAAUUUGUCUCUAACUUCCAAUUUCAAUAGGCUUUUUCAAUUCUUCUGUUUAUUUCGCUAAAAUGAGAGAUAAAAACUCGGUCAAAAUGUAUAUGUGGAGAUCCUUUCAACUAGAGGUCAUUCCAAAAUUUAACCUGUAAAUUUGUUUUGUUUUGACAAAGUAAAGAAAACAAAGUAAUUUCUAUGCCUCCGCAUUUUCACGAAUCAUGGUUCAACUGAUAUAUUUAAUAAAUUAAAUCCUCAUAUGCUCUAUCUGUUAUAUAUCUUUAACGUCAAUAUCAUAUGUAUCUCUCAUCUAAUUUCUAACUCGUAAUUUAUAGACUAUUUUCUAUCGAAUAGAGUUAAUAACAUAACAAGGAGUGUUACACAUUAACCUCUACUUCUUGUAAGGUGUAGGCAUCUAUUACAAUUUGCUAUUCAUGCAAUCAUGCACUUACUUUAUAGAAUUUUAUUUCUUAUCAUAAUCAUACUAGAGACCUACAUGUUCCAUUUUUUUAAUCCUACUUGCUCCAACUUUAUACUUGGUAGAAAAAGAUUGGCAAUAUUUAAAAUCACCCAUUUGUGGUAGUGACUUGAAUAGAUCAUCUUAAAUUUACCCCUUUCCACUAAAAAUUAAUUAAAAAUAUUGUAUUUCAUAAAUAUGGUGAAAGGUUACAAAAGCGAAUAGAAAAAUGAUUCAGUAGUGCUUACAAACAGUUCUACAAACUUUAUAUAAAUUUGUAUUAAUAUCAACGAUUUACGUACGAGGCUAAAAAAUAACUCCAAUCAUUCAAAAAAAAAAAAAAAGAAGAAGAAAAUCAAAUAAAACAUUUGUGGAGUUAUUUGUAAGGAUGAUAUUAAUAUUCUUUUGAAUAGGAUAACCCUAACCACCAUGUAACUUAACCUCAUGUCCUUAUCCAACCAUGGGAGAGAUUGGUGGUUUCUUGUACUUAACAAUCAAAUGACUUGCAUCAACAAUUCUCUAGUGUUAAUUAUAGGUUUCAACUACUGGGUUUAUUUUAUUUAAUUUUCCUUUUUAAAAUAUCUACAUGGAUCAUUGGAUUCAUCUCUCUUAUUGGGUCUUUCCUACCUGGAGACUUAGCCAUUUCCCAAGUUGCAAAUUUGAUGGUGACUUUGAUGUUAUUUAAUGUGAAAGGGAAGGGCUAAAAGGACACAAAGUAUUAAAAUUUAGGUUCACAAUUUUUUUUUAAAAAAAAAUUGUAAAAAAUCAGUGUGUAGCAUCACAAUCUCAUUGAAGUCAAGUUAGUUGAGUUUCAAGUAGACUCUUUGGGAAUUUUAAUGCCAUUAAUACCAUGUAUAUUGUUGCCAUUGAGUUAAUAGAUGAGGACUAAAAAAUUGCAAGUGAGAUCAUAGAAAAUUUCAUGAUCAAUUAUUUUGCUUGUAAUUUUCAUGGAUCAGAAACUUAUUUCCCAAAAUUGACCAAAAAAAUAGAUUAAUUUUUGGUGUUGUUUGUAUGUUAUGGAUGCAUGCUUUUGUCAUUAGAAAACAACAGAUGCAAAACUCUUCAAUUUGACUUUUUUACUGCAUUAUUUUGUGAAAAGCACUCCCUUGAUUUCUAAUGACUAUAUGUGAUGUUUUUAAUUGUUUAUUUAGCCCCACAUUUGAAACAAUUUCUUCCCAUAAUAAUUACAAUUUUCCUUUUUUUUUUUUUUUUCAAGAUCGCUAGCGAAGAGUUUAAAGCUUUUGCUGUGACAUAAUUUUCUGAUGAGCACACGAGGCUUUUGUUUUCUCUUUUACUAUGAGAAGCUAUUAGGAACAUUGAAAAAAAAUUAAAUCUUUGUUAAACUACUAUUCGCAAAUAAUAGUUUUGUAGAAACUGAUCGAAUAGAUUUAGAGCACAUUGUAGGAUGAUUCAUUGGCACCUCCAUCACUUUUACGAUAGCGGUAUCUCUUGAUAAAAAAGUUGGCCAAACGAGCUCUCAGUUGCAUAUAAAUUGCACGAUAUCAAUUGCUUUUACUCUUUUGAAAAUUUUUAAAGAGGAAAAAGAAAUACCUUCAUAAUUACUUAGUGCAAAGCACUUCUAAAAUGGUGAUGUUAUUAAUAGAGCCAACUCCAAUAUCAAUUUACUAAUUCAGUGAAUUUAGCUAAUCACAGUUCGCUUAUCCAAAUUACUGAUGACACUGUUUAACUCACUUCGCUGUUUAAAAGCUUUAUUAAAAAAAAACAAUUUGUGUCAUUCAACUAAAUAUAGUAAUGACAUAUGCACUACCACAUAGAGGGGCAAAACAGGACGAACUCUCCUCCCAUUUUUUUUGACAGAUUGAAGCAGAUUCAAAAUAGUUAAAUUUUAUUUAAGUUUUUGAUAAAUACUUAGCAGAUUGGAAUGAAUUAAAAGCAAAAAUAUUUAAGAUUCCUCACUAUAUUUUUUUAGUCUAUUGGAACGAAUUUUAUUUUCGUAUUUUAUGUACGGAGCAAGUCGGGACGAAAACUCUAUCCGUUCGGAUCUAUUUAUGUAAAAUCUUAGAAUUAAUAAUGCUAUACUCAUAAUUCAUCUCCUAUUUAUUAUUCUUCUUAAAUAGUACACAAUAUAAUGUUCCUGCUUUUGGACUGGACCCUAUGGCAUAGUGAACACACCAUAGGGAACUAUAUAUAAAUAAAAUUUCAGUGGUAAGUGUCCUAUCUAUGUCUUAUUAAAAAGUCUUCGAUAUCUAUUAUCAUAUAUUAUAAUUAUCUUCAUUUGAUAAUUCAUCAAAAAGAAAUUAAUACUAAAAUUUAUAAAAAAAAUUUUAAAUUUAAAAAAAUAUAAUUUUUAGGAAAAAUUUUAAAUAUCAUUUCUAUAGUUUCAUACUUUUUUAUUUUCUAUGAUUUAGGCCCAGUUUGGAAAUUCCUAAAAACGUUGCAUAGUUAAAUUUUGCUAUGGCGGUAGGAAAAAUAUCCUAUGAAGUGUUUGGGAGAAAAAAAAGUAACGUAAAUUUUGGAGCAUAGUUAAACUAUACUCUAAAAAAUAGAGUAAAAGUAUAAUCCACUCUAACCGAAGAAAAAAAAAUUUCACCAUUCUUAAGCUCCCUUCUUCAAAAAAUGCAUAAGUUCUAAUUUUUAAAUUUCAACAUAAAAUUUUAAAUUUCAAAAUAAAUUUUAAAUUUCAAAAUAAAUUUUAAAUUUCAAAUUUUAAAUUUAAAUUUCAAAUUUUAAAUUUUAAAUUUUAAAUUUCAAAUUUUAAAAUUUUAAUCAAAUUUUAAAUUUUAAAUUUUAAAUUCUAAAUUUCAAAUUUCAAAUUUCAAAUCUCAUAGUUCAAAUUUCAAAUUUUAAACUUUAAAUUUUAAAUUUAUUUUUAAAAUUUUAAAUUUUAAAUUUUAAAUUCUAAAUUUCAAAUUUAAAAUUUAAAAUUUAAAAUUUUUAUUUUAAAUAAAAUUUAAAAUUUAAAAUUUUAAAAUUUAAAUUUCAAAUUUCAAAUUUCAAAUUUCAAAUCUCAAAUCUCAUAGUUCAAAUUUCAAAUUUUAAAUUCAUUUUUUAAAUUUCAAAUUUCAAAUUUCAAAUUCUAAAUUUCAAAUAUCAAAAUUUAAAUUUUUUAUUUUUUAUUUUAAAAUUUAAAAUUUAAAAUUUUAAAAAUUAAAUUUAGAUUUUAGAUUUUAUAUUUUAAAUUUUUAAAUUUUAAAUUUUAAAUUUUAAAUUUUAAAAUUCAAAAUUUCACAUUUCACAUAUCAAAUUUUUAAUUUUAAAUAUUUUUUGAAAUUUUAAAUUUUAACUUUUAAUUUUAAAAUUUAAAAAAUCCCGUGAAAUUGCACAAUGCGUAUGCAAACAGUUUAAAAAUUGAAUCUGUGGAAUUUUUUAGAGUUGCAGGAUUCUCUAUUUUAUCUAGACCAAAACCACAGUUUAUAAAUUCCGCAGAAAUUUUUUAAUGUGCAUCCAAACAGGCCCUCGUAAUUUUAUUUUUCUCUUUUUAUUAUCUCAUCUAUUAAUUUUUUUUAUUAAAUUAGUGAUAAAGUUAAAACUAAAAUAUACUAAAGUGAAUAUUCAAUAAACCUAGGUGAGGUAUGGUGAAGCUAACGAAAAGAAAAAACCAAAAUAACAAAAUACUAAAUUAAUCUAUUUUAAAUUACAUAAUAUUAAAAUAAAAAAAUAUGAAACUACGGCAAUGAUAUUUGAAGUUUUUUUUAAUUUUUAAACAGAGAAAAAUGAACAGAGACAUUGUUGAAGGGCUUCUUAAUGAAGCUUUUUCUAUUAUAUUAUAUAAUCUAUUAAAAUGUCAUUUAUUACUACAAUGUAGAGCAAUGAUUUUUCACCUACUCCCCCUCUAUAGACUCAUAAUCUCUGGAGGAGUCUAGAGCCUCUAAGGCCCUCCUAAAACUUAGGUAGACAAUAAUUGUUAGAGUGACAUUUAUCUCAACCUUAUCCUCAAAUCCUGCAAAAAGAUAAUCCCCCACUCUCUUUGCCCAUUAAUAGCAACUAGGGUCAAACCACCAUUGCAUAUUUGUGUAAAUUUUAUUGGGUUAGAAUUUUUUUUAUUUUUUUUGUACACAACAAUUUUUAUUAUAUGUAUAAAACUAUGCUUGGAUCUCCUUUUUAAACAAAAACAAAAAUACUUUAAAAGUGUACUAAUUGAUUGUAAAAAUAAAAAAAAUAUAAGUUUAUACUUCACAAUAAAAACUAUUUGAGUACCCAAAUAUAUACAUAUAUUUAUAUAUUUAGUGAGCUUAUAUUUAUGAUGAGUUGUGCUAGAACACUAUCGGCAGCAAACCGGCUCCAUAGCCACCCAUUUGUUUUCAAUGAUGGAGCCUUCGAAUUAACGAUCGGCACCGUUGAAUAUGAUCUAUACCACUUGAAGUAUUUAGAAACCAAAUUUCAAAUCUUUUUGAUAUCAUUAACCUAAUGAUCAAAAGGUUUCAAAAUUUAUAAUUUUAAUGGUAGAUAUGAGGUGUUUUCACGUUUAACGGUGUAAAACUAUCCAAAUCAAUUGAAUUUUGGUUAGAAAAUUCUUUAAACUAUUUAGAACAAGAUCUAUACUCUCGAUCUUGAUUAUAAAGUUUCUAUCAUCACUUUUUAGAAGAUAUUCAUUUUCAGCCGUUCAUUUUUACACCCACUUGAUGGACAAGAGAAUAAUAUCGGAAAAACAUGAAAUUUGAUUUCUAGAUAAUUUAAGUGGUAUAGAUCAUAUUCAACGGUGCCGAUCGUCGAUUCGAAGGCUCCAUCAUCGAAAAUAAAUAAGUGGCAACGGAGCCUAUUUGCUACCGAUAGUAUUCUAGCUCAACUCUAUUUAUGAUAAGACUUUCAAAUACUACCGUUGAGACUGUUUUAAAUUUAUAUGUUUUGCAUAAUAACUAACGGAUUAAAUUAUUUGAUCAUGUGAGCAGGUCCUAUCAAAUAUUUAUAACAAGGGAUUAAUUUUCAUGCAGGUCUCUAUAAACAUAGUAAAUGAUAAAUAUAUUUCUACAAAAUUCGACUUCCAUAUGUUGUUCUGUAAAAGUCUUAAUGUUUUCAAAUAUAUUCCUGCCAUUAGAAUCCGUUAGAAAAUUUUAAUUAAUCAUAGGUUAAAUAAUUAACCCUAAUUAGUUUUUGAUAUUUCUACCUCUCUUAUAUUAUAUUGCUAUAGCUUUUAGAGUGAUAUACUUGUGAUGGUAAAAUUGAAAAUAUAAAUAGUUCUCAAACGGUUAUUUAACGGUAAUAAAUCAGAAAGACAUAUUUGAAAACAUUAAAAUUUUUACAGAAACAACAUAUAAAAGUUAAACUUUAUAGGAAUAUAUUUGUCAUUCACCAUAUUUACAGGGAUCUGUAUGAAAUUAAUAAAGUAUCUAAAUUUACAUACAUACAUCUUGAAGUCAGAUGUUUAAAUUUUCAUGUAUUCAAAUUUAAGACUUUGUAUUCUGAACUAUAAUGUUGAUAUGUACAGAUACUUGGAAGGAUUCAUCAAAGCAUGCGCAUGCGAGAGAGAUGAGAAAAUUAAGAUGCCACAAGAGAAACAAUGUAGGUGUACUUCAAAAUGAAUACUAAAUAAUGAAAUAAUAAAAAAAAAUUAAAAAAAAUGAUAUAAUAGUAAAAUAAAAAGCUAAAGUACAAAAAAUAAAAUAAAAUAUUCAUUGUUUCAUUUCUACGGAAAUUGUGUUGGUUUAAAUGGGUCAGCAUCCAAUCAUGUGGCAGAAAGCUAUAUUGAAUCGAGUCAUAUUCGAAAUUGCGUGAGGCUGGAUUGGUCGAGUCAUGUUCCAAGUGGCGUGAGGCUGGGUGGGCCGAGUAACAAUUGAAACUCGUGAGCGUUGUAUGCGUACGCUUUAAGUGAAUUGAUUGUAUAUUUCUAACAGACCAAGCUUUUGGGAUUAAUGGUUAGCGCCAACGAUCCGACAAGUGACAUCAGAGCCAGAGGUCACGGAACAAGUGGUAUCAGAGCCAGAGGUCACGGAUUCGACUCUCGCAUGCUCAAAUAUUUGCAGGUGCUAGAGGGAGAAUUGUUGGUUUAAAUGGGCUUGUAUUCUGUCCUGUGGCUAGAGGUUAUGUUGGGUGGCAUGAGGCUGGGUGGGCCGAGUUAUAAUUGAGACCCGUGUGUGCUGUAGCUAUACACUUUAAGUGAAUUGGCUGCGUAUUUCUAACAGCGACAAAUUAUACAUAUAUUCUCUCUUGAAAAAUAAUUAAAAAAAUACAAUAAAAAUACAAUAAAAACUGAUACUUUAUAAUGUAUGUCUCAAAGUUGGGUAACAUUUCCCCUCAUUUGAAUACACACAUUAAUAUACUACGAAUUUCUAGAACUAUUUACCUAUCUAGCCUCUUUACAAAAAAAUAUUUCCUAUCUAGCCUUCUUUUGAAAAAUAUUCUCCAUCUAGCCUCAUUUUCAAAGAUUAGAGAAAAAAAGAGAAAUUAAUACCUUUAAUAUAUAUUAAGGGGUUAAGUGGGGGAAAUUAUCUUUUUCUCUCUCCUCUCCUAUUUCCCGAGAUCCCUUCUCACUCUCUAAUUUUUGCGUAUAAUUUAUCUCAUAUCGAUUUAUUUCAAAAUAGAAAAUUUUUAUAUAGCGCAUCAACCAAUUCCAAUCUUUUUAUAUUUUGAUGGAAAUGUUAUGCAUGGUUCGGAAGGAGUUGAUUAUAAUGGUCCUGAUCCAAAACUAUUUAGAUUUCUCGUAUUUUAGGUUUUAAUACAUUAAAACAUAAAAUUUAUAGGCCGAAUGGGAUCAAGAUUAUUUUGAUAUAAAAAUUAAUGGGAGAGGAGAGAGAAAAAGAUAAUCUCCCCCACUUAACCCCUUAAUAUAUAUUAAAGGAAUUAAUUUCUCUUUUUUUCUCUAAUCUUUGAAGAUGAGGCUAGAUGGGGAAUAUUUUUCAAAAGAAGGCUAGACAGGAAAUAUUUUUUUGUAAAGAAGCUAGAUAGGUAAAUAGUUCGAAUUUCUACGUGCUAUACUCCCACUAUACCCAAAAGUUACGACGCGCAUCACUCAACCAAUUAUAAUACGACACGUAAGCAAAUUAUUCGCGGUGCGUGGACGCGGCGCACCGCGAACGUUCGGAUUACAUGACCGGUGUUCUGGCCGAACGCGCGAUCUCGGGCCCCGCGGUGGGGCCCGCGUCCCCCCACCUCCGAAGGAAUUCUAUACUGUCACACUUACACCAUAUCACCAAUAAUAAGCAAAUCACAUUCCUUCUUUUUAAAUAUAAGUACAAUAAAAAUAUUUUUUUACAAUCAUGAUAGAACAUAUAUUCUUAAAAGGAUUAAUUUUAUUGAAUUGUUACGCCAAGUCACUAAUAUACCUAUUGCAUACUAGAAUUUUUCCCACCCAAGUGGCCCAGUGGCGCGUUCGGGGGAUGCGCUGACAACUCUACGCGUGUACGGCCGGAUCGGCGUCAUCUGGAAUCGAGCCCGCCCCCCAAUCGCCGCCGUCGCGAGGGGACACGUGGAGGGCGGGUGCGGAUCCCGAGGCGCGUGCGCGUGGGCGUCGCAGUUGUUGCGGAAUAAAAGGUCGAGGAAGGACGGGGCGAGGCGAUAUUGAUGUUGAUAUUCUCACCCCACACCAACCCCAAAUUCACCCUUAUGUAAAUUUUUUAAGUGUAAAAUGCACUAUUGGUCCCCAAACUAUGAGUUGGUGAUACUUUGAUCCUCGAACUUUAGUUUAAUAUAACUUUUGAAUCGCAUUAUGAAAUGCGUACGUGAUAAUUAAAAUGCAACUUUACUUUUAUAUCAAUGAUGAUAUAUAAAUAUUUAAUCAACUAACUAGGGUUGUGAUAUUUAAUUAUAAUAAUUGUGAAAGUCCGUCAAAAUUAUAAUAAAUUAACGUAUGGGGACUAAAAUAUCACCCUAUUUUUAAAUUAUUUUAAUGGAUAAAGAAAAAAUGGAUAAAAUUGGCACGUAAAUAAUUAUUAAGCACAAACUGGUAAUUCUACAAAGUAAAGAGGAAGUUAAAUUAGUAAAUGUGAGGAUCAUUAUAAUUAGAAAAAAAAAAAUAGGGGAUCUAGUUUUAAAGAGUUGAUUUAACUUUAAAAAAUAUAAUGAAUUAAUAAUUAUAAACUUUUUUUUUUUUUUCAGAAGUUAUGGAUAGUCCUUAAUUUUCAAAUCCUCUUUUAAAAGUUAUUAUUAUUGGUAGUCCUUAAUCUUUUAAAAUGGAUAAUUUAAAUUAUUCGAAAAGUUAGAGCUUGAAUACAUUGGUCGUUGGAUCUCAGCUACCAAACAUUAAGUUCUUAAGAUGGUACGCAAGGACGAUCAGUGGACUUUUGAUACUUUAAAGAUAAAUUAUAAUUUUAGUCUUCAAUUUAAAGAGCAUGUGAUAUUUUAAUUCUUAAAUUUUAAUUUAUUAAUAUAUUAUAAUUUUAUUUUUAUUUAUAAUUUACAAAUCACAAAAUAAUAAAGUAAAGGAGAAACUUCAAAUACCCCAUAUGGUUUCGCUCUUUCUCACUUUAGUAUUUUGUGGUUUAAAGUUUAUCAAGUUAGUACCAUGUGGUUUCGCACUUUCUCACUUUAGCACCCUGUGAUUUCGCACUUUCUCACUUUAGUAUCUUGUGGUUUAAUAUUUCGUUAAAUUAUAUACCCAAAAAUGAAUAAUAAAAAGAGAAAAUUGAAACCACGUGGUACUAACACAGGGUACUAACUUGAUACACUUGAAACCAUAGGGUACUAAAGUGAAAAAGUGUGAAAUCACAGGGUACUAAUUUGAUACGCUUUAAAUCACAUGAUACUAAAAUAAGAAAAUACGAAACCACAUAAGGGUAUUUGAAGUUUUUCCUAAAGUAAAUAAAAUAGACUAGUAUGUAUUGUAUUUUAUAUCACUCUAUAGUUUAUCGAGUAUAUUACUUUACUAUAGUUGACCUGGUACCCGUCAUAAUUUUUUUCUCAAUAGCAAAAGUAUAUUGAAUUGCACAAAUUUUAGACAUUAUUUAUCUAAUAUUUAAGUGGUUUCAAAAUAGGGAGGCAAAUGGAUUUGGAUUGGUGGAGCUUCCGUCCCCAUCCAUUUGAAUGGAACAGUAAGUGGGGUUCAAAAAUAAAUUAAAAAAUAAUAUGCCUUCAAUCUAUUUUGAUCGGCUAAAAAAACUAAGCGAAAGGUGGAGAACAUAUUCUUUCCUUUAAUUCGCCAAAAAAACUAGCUCUAAGUCGGACCUGUCCUGAAUAGAACGGUAAGUAAGUGCAAAAAAUAGAUAAAAAUCAACCCGCCACAUGUCCAUCUCGAUCUGUCCAUACAGGGCGGAAUAUAAGGGAACUCCUCUCGCCCUCAGCUCUGUCCCGUUUAUUUUUCUGUUUGAAACAAUGGCUAUAUACGGUAAAUUUGAGGCCACUAAUUGCUAGAUAAAUUAUAUCAAAAAAUUAUAAAAUUUAAGUUUAAUAAAAUUUAUAUAGUUUAGAUUAUAUUUAACGAUGUUCGAUUCGGAUGCUCCAUCGCAUGGACGAAUGCAAAAAUAAACAAUUUUAUUUGCUUCCAAAAUUAUUAUAUUCUGUAUUAUAUUUAAGGGUGGGAUGGGUCCUCCCCUCCCCCACUUUUUUCUUGGUGAGUUGGGGGAGGAUUCUGGGCGAAUUAAUUUUCUUUUAUUUUUUAUUUUCACUUAUCGUUUCAUUUAGGAUUAGUCGAAAUGAAAGUGUAUUUGUGACGGUAUAUCUCACCUACCAUCCUAUUAUCGCAGUGGAGUGGAUUCGAGCAUAUCUGGAUUCGUUUGCAUCUCUUAAGGUAAAUUAAUCGCCUAGUGGGGAGCUUCUUGACGACGCUUUACCAGAGAACUUCUGAUUCACUGUCACUUGUUAGUUUUACCUCGGUUUAAUAAUUCGCUGUAUAUUUUCUAAUACUAAAACACCCAAAAAAAUUCUAAUGCUAAAAAAAGCUUAUAAUAUUUGGAUAGACGUCAUAAAAUAAAAUUGAUACAUAAUAAUAAAAUUACUUCACUAAAUUUUGCCUUGUCUUUUUCCGAAAAGUAAUCAUGCCGGGAUGUGACCACCUCUUUUAUCUUUUUAGUAUUGAUUGCUCACGUUCCAAUAGGGGUAGUAAUUUAGCUCGUUGUUCACCAAUUAAUUUUUGUUCGGCUUAAAAUUAGCUUAAGAUCAAAUCGCAUAUUUAGUUAACGAGUCGAAUAAGAGCUAAAUUUUUCAACUUAUUUAAUAAACAUGCCGAACACGAGUUGGGAUCAGUUCAAUCGUAUUUGGCUCGAUAACAGCUCGAAUAUAUAUAUUUUAUACGUAUAUUAUUUAUAUUUUUAUAUAUAUAAAUAUAUAUAUAUAUAAAAUACAGAUUUUUAUUAUUUAAUUUUUAGCAUAAUCUAAAUAUAAAAUUCAACUCAAUUAUAAAAACGCCUAUUUAUAUAUAAAAUUUUAACUAUUAGAUUAAAAUCAAUGAGUAAGAUUCUAUAAAUUUAUUUUCUAUACAUCUAUUUUUUUAUAUUUUUAAUUUAUUAUUCAUGAGCUAAUUUAUAUUUGACUCAUUAAUAAACGAAUCAAAUACGCGUUGAAUUUUUCGUGGUUCGUUAGCACCCCUACAUCAAAUACAAAGGUAAAAAAAAUUAUUUAAAGAGAAUGUGAAAUAGAUUUUUUAGCAUAUUUAAUUUCAACAUUGCAAUUCUGACAUUUCCCGUCUCUUCACGUCACGCCGUGUCCGCCAAUGGCAUCCAUUUAUGUGUAACUAAAAUUUUAAAUUAAUAACUACAAAACUUUUAAUUUAUUUAAUUUAAAUUAUUUAAAUAUAAUUUACCUAUUUAAAUUAAUUAUUUAUUUUAAUAAAUUUAUAGUCGUAAAAGUUAUAUAAAAUAUAUUAAUUAAAUUUAUAAAAAUAAAUAAUAGACUCGAAUUCUAAAAUUAAAAUGUUAUUUACCGACUCAAAUCAAAUAAAUUGAAUGGCUGAAUAGCAAAAUCAAAAUUUUGAAAUAUCGAAUAGAAAAAUCCAAAUGGUUCUUAAUUCAUAUAAACUUUAUACAAUUUUAUCAAAAAUAAAAUAUUUAAAAUAUUUAUUUUUAUAUUCGUGGUGAUUUUAAAAAUGUAAAUGUUUUAAAAAUGUAGAAGAGCUGAGCAGUUUUUAUCACAACUUUGUACUAUUGAAUGGUAGAAAAUUGAAAACUUUUUUGAGUUUUUGAAACAAACUUGUUCCACAAAAAAGUUGGAAUAGCAGUAUGAGAUUUAUACUGGAUUAUAUCAGUUUAUUUUAGAAAUUUAAGAAUUAUUGUUUUCGAAUAUCAAACACAAUAUUUGAAAACAAAAAGGGGAAUAAGGACUUAUUCCCCUUCUUGUUUUCGAACCAAACGCAAUCGCUAAGGUCCAAUUUAGAAUUCCAAUAUCUAAUGUUAAGCAUACACUUUUAUAUUUUAGAAUUAGUGUCAAAUUUAAAAGUAUUUUUAAUUAUAUCUUCCACAAUGCUAUCAAACUCCAAUAAGAAUUGCCAUGGGAGAAAUAAGUGAUUAUUUACUUCUAUGCUAAUGGUUCUCACAAUCAUUUUAUAGUAUUAAAAAAAUAAGGAAAAAUUUUCUUUAUACCCUUCUAAAAGCAUCUAAUUUCAUAAAUGCCCUUUUAAAAAUUGAAAUAUCAUGUAUACCUCCUCAAAUUUAACAAACUUUCAAAAAUACCCCUGCCAUCAAAUCUCCAUCCGUAUUAAAAUUAAUAAUAUUUAUAUUCCAACUUUACCCCACUUAAUUAUUCAUUGGUCAAUUAAUAAUUUUAUUUCAUAAAUACCCUCUUUUAUAUUUCAAAAUUAAUUAAAUUCUAUCUAGACUAAAAAUUUAGUAAAAUUCAAUUGAUUUUAGUUUAAAAAAUUAUUCAUUUUAAUUAAAUAAAUAUUUCUAUUUGGAAUAAAUUAUAGUUAAAUUAAAUUUCAUUUUGCUUUAAUGUCAGAAUGAGAAGAUAAUUUAUUUUAGUUAUAUCUACUUUUUUUACUACAUCGAUUGUAAAGUAAUAAAUUUUUUUUAUUUGACUACUUAAUAUAGAGAAAAUUUGUUAUUAUGAAUACAUUACAACUAAGAGCAUUAGUAUAAAAUCCGACCUCAAAUAAAAAAAAUAGUUAUAUUAUGAAAGGACAAACUAAAUUCUUGUAAUCAACGGACUUUACAUAAACCAAUAAUUGUUUUAAAUAAUAAAUUGAAAAAAUUUUAGAUAAUGAAAAUUUUUCACAAAUUAAGAUAAUUAUUCCAUUAAAUUUAAUACCUUUGACUAAUUUUCAGUUGAAACUAGCAUAAAUUCAUUUAAUAGUUAAUUAUUAUUAGCUAAUUAACCUAUUAAUUGAAUUUCUUUAUUAAUUGAUUAUAAUAUUUGAAAUCUGAAUGGACAAAGAAAAUUUUUUAAAAAAUGGACCACGUACAUUUAUAUGCCCCUCAACAGUUUAGGGGCAAAAUGGAUAAUUUUAUUCUUAACCUUUAUUAUAUCAUGGUAUAACUAAGAUUAAAAUGAGUUGAGGGUAUUUUUGAAACAAAGUAAAUAUUUGUAGGGGCAAUUUUGAUACUUCAAAUUAUGUAAGGGCAUCUACGAUAAUUUUGAACUUUUCAGGGGUACGAAUGAAAUUGCCCCAAAAAAUAAAGAUGUUCUUAAAUUUUUUGGAUUUUCUAUAACAUGAAACUAAUGCUUUCAGACGCUACAAAUGCUAACUAACUAGAAAGCAUAAAUCAAGUGUUUUUGGUGAUGCAAAUUCUAAUUUAAUAGGUAAACUAUAUGGAAAAAAUUUUGAAAUUUAUUUUUUAGAAACUUUAAAUUUCUAAAUCAAGUAAUCUAACGGAGCCAAUCGUUGAUUCGAAAGUUUUAACAUUGAAAAUAACCCAUCAUGAUUCUAAAAGCAUACAAGCCUAGCUCAUAAUUUUUUGAUACUUUUUAAGAUCAUCUUUUUGCAAUUUUUUUUUCCCGAAUUUGUUAAGUUGAAUCAGCUCGAUAAACUGGCAUAAACUUUCCGAUUAAAAAGGGCGUUUGGUUUGAUGUAAUCAUAAAUACAGUAGCAUUCGAAAUACAUAAAAUUAUUAGAAAUGUAAUAUUUUUUGUAAUUGAGAAUGUUGCAAUUUGAUUGUUUUGUAGUUGAAAGUUGUAUGGCCAAUUUUUAUUGCCUUACGUGUAUGCAUAAAAUAAUAAGAAUAUUCUUAAAAAUAAAUUUUUUUAUUUUUUAUUUAGUCUUUAUUUGGGAUUACGUAGAAAGUACGUUAUAUACUAUGAGAAAGGACGAUCAGAAAAUACCUUUUUAUUUUCGCACGUAUUAUUGUGUUUCAUAUAUCAUGAUUAUUUAGUUACGAUAUAUUUUCUGCGGUCCCAUUGAAAAAAAUAUAAGCAUAUUCGUAUAUACUUUUUCCUUAAUUCUAUUUUAUAUAAUAGUGUUAUAUAAAUCACAAUACCAAACUAAAUCUUAAUAUAAAUACAUAAAAUAAUUUUUAUAUUAUUUUACUCUCUUAAGUUACUGUAUCUCUAACUAUACUAAUUUCAGAGUAGUAGUUUGAGAUAUAAUAUAA